AUUCAUUCAAGAGUACUUCAAAAUUAGAUUUUCAAGGUUUGUAUGUUUAGUUGCGAUCAAAAUGUUUAGUCACUCAUUCGUAAUCUUUUCUGAUUUUCAAGUUCUUUAGGGCCAUAAACAGUUUUCCAACUCAUUCUUAAUUUUUAGGUUGAUUUCGAGUACCCUGUUGAGGACAUUCCUGACACCAAGGAUUAGGCUGGCGAAGGAACUACUACCUCUGUUGUCAUUGUGCAAGGUUUGAUCAUUCGACCUUGAAUAAGAAUGCCUUACACGCAUUCUGUAAUUCAAGCAUUCUCUAAAGGAAAAGAGCAGUAGAAGGGAUAGUGAUGGCCGGAUCUGCUCUAUUUUAGUUGAAGAUCUCUGUGAUGUCGAUGAACUUAAAGCAGUUGAUACUUCUUCAAAAUUGUUAUUACGGAUGAAUUGAUUCCUGGAGACGGGUAUCCAAAGGCGUAUUUUCAUAAACUUCCUUCUUUAACAAAUGUUCCAACGCUUGCUGUAGUAACAAUUUCAUAGCUUGCAUCUCUCGGGUGCGUCAUGUUCACGGGUUGGAAAAAGCAUUUGUCGUAAAGCUUCAAAGCUUGUAAAAUGGCUGUGAAAAGGCACAUUCAAUUCGGUAUGCUUUGGUGCGGUCUCCUAAUGCUAAUAUUAUAUUUUGUAUAGCAAUCUUAGUAUGCAAAAAAUCAUUGUGUCCAAAGUUUUCUAUUAAUUAUAUGGUGACUGAAAUUUUAAUUAUCAUAUAAAUCUUAAAAAUUUUUGUAACCCUAUUUUACUUUGCUUGUACAGAAUACCUGUUUUCGCUGAUAUGUCGAAUUCCUAGAAAUUCAUUUCCAUCGGUUUCCAUUGGUUUUAGCACAAACAGAAACAUAGAGCCCUGGGAAAAAGUUUUACUUUUGGUGGUAUUAUGCCUUAUUUUCUUCAUUCAUCAUAUUUGUUUCGAAUUCAUGCUCUCAUUCAGAGAGUAAAGCCUUUUCCAGGCUGCUUUGUAGCCAAAUUUUGAUGCCAUCGAUGCGUGAUUGUCAUUUAGAUCUUCGAAAUAAUUGUUAGAUUGGAGACGAAUCAGAAGAUAUUGUUCAAAGGGUAUUUAAUUAGCACCCUCUGAAUUUAGUUGGCAAUAAUGCAUUGAAAUGGUUGGGGAAAGUUAUUGUCUUAAUUAAAUUACAGGUGAUAAGAUGCUGCUUCAAUUUUGCAAGCAUCUUAUACUGCGAAGAUUCUGCCCACAUGAGAUGCUGUGAUUCUUGACGUCAGGAUAACACAGGUCAAAUUUUAGUAUCAAUAUAUAUCAUCUUCUUUACUGUUCUGCCUCUAAAUAUUAAACUUUAAGCAAGUUGUCUGUGAAUGUUUUCCUUCAAUAUUAAUACACUGGCAUUUCUUAGUAAAUUCUCUUCACGUCACUUCCUCCUUGUUGGUGGGAUUAGUAAACAAAUGUCAUUUCUUAGUACAUUUUGAGAAUUUUGACUCCCAAAUAAGCCUGCAGAGCGGUGUAUGGUGGGAUUAGCUGCGGGAUUCUUUGCCAAACUUCCUUUUUAUUCCUUUGUUCACUUAUUCGUUAUAAAUAAAGUAAAAUUAGAAUAUUGUUCCGUUUACUGUCUAAGCUGGUCUAACAUUUGUUUAAUUUGGGCAAUUUUUAAUGCCUAACAGGUUAUCUGUGACAAACCCAUCGGUGAGUGUAUGCAACUAUUGCGUGGAUUUGAUAGAGUGGUCACCAACAAUUUUGAAGUUAUUGGAGUAGCACGGCUUUGAGGUCUCCCCCUCCCUCUUUUACGUAUUUGUCUAUUGAUCGACAUGUCUAUAUAUACAUUGAUAGACCAACUUACUCUUGUUUUAAUGUUUUGUUUGUUAAACUUUGACUGGGGAAAGUUUAUUUGUCUCAUAUGAUGUCAAUGUGGUUCCUAUUGAAGUGUAUAGAUCUGUCACCUCAAAGUCUGAUUUCAAUUAAUUUUCCUUUACUUCAUCAACUAGCAUCCUUUCCAAGUCCAGAUACUUACCAAUAGUGAGACUUUGCUACGGAAGUACAAUUUCUCUUGUUUUACAGUUAAUUAUGUAAGAAAAGUUUUAAAUUUACAGAAUUCUGAUAUAGCUCUCUUAAGGAAAUGCGAGUGGUGAAUAUGGUUCCAACUUUUAAUAGGCUUAAUAGGCCCAUUUGUUGAGCCACAGUGAUUGCGGUCUAAAUUCUUCUUUACUGUCUAUAUGUGUUGGAGUUUGUCUAUUGUCCAACUUCUCAAAUCGAUUCCAUGCAGGGUUUUGAAUGUCUAAUUAGGAGAAAGAUUAACGGAUGACCUUUUGAAGAAGGCUUACACAACAGGCCAUCUCAGGAUGUCAUGGCUCAGCUCAAAAGUCCCCAGGUGGUUGAUAUCAAAGAAUGCCAUUGUUUCUGGGCUUGGUCUCCUUGGCAUCAAACAAGAUAAUGUUGACUCUAUUAAAGGGGAAAUAAGGGCAACUAAAGCGCGAAGAAAGAGGAUAGUCCGGAGGAAGGUGACUGCAUAAAUUUGUUGGAGUUAAUGUAGUCAAUUGCCCAAUUUUGCUGCCUGUCGAAGAGACACAUCAUGGAAGUCCUCAUCAAACUCUGAGACACCUAAGAAAUAGUAGGAGGUGGUGGUACUCGCCUGGGGUUAAUUUCCUGGCAAGUAUAGUUCACUGAUAGAGGGAAUCUUCUCUUGAUGUGUAAAUACCGUAUGUGAUACAAUGUCGUGUAUAUUCUAAUUUUCCUUGAGUUAAAUUCUAGUCAGUUAGGAAAGUUAAUUUUGUUUUCGCUAUGGAUUGUUUCCUAGAUAAAAAUAGUUUCCAUGUUCCUUUGGGGUCUUAUUAACUCUCUGUAACCCAGUUCAAGUUUGCAAAUUCUAUUUCAGAUUUCUCAUAUAGUGUGCCUUUGUCACUUCUGUGAUACACUUUUGAUCACAAGUUUCCAUUUGAAGUAGCCAAUAUUCUUUAUAGACUAAUUAUCUAAGGAUUAUUUUAUCCAAAAAAUCAAAACUUUAAUUAAUUGAUCAUAACUUAACUUAGCUCUUGUUUGAUAUUACUAGCUGUUGUGAGAAAAAAAAAAUAACAGAAAGUUGACAAUGUGCAGUAAAUGUAUGACUUUUAAAUAAUAAUUUAAUAAAAUUAAUAAAGAUAUUAUAAGUUUUUUAAUAAUAAAGUAUGAGAUCAAAUCAAAUUAAAUUUUAAGUCAAAAUAGCAAAUAUUUACUUAAAUUGUUUAAUUAUGUAGCUUAAAAGGUAUAGUUGUCCAACCUCAACACAAUAUCGAGAUUUACCGAACUCUACCCGACUUUAGUUGUACUGACUCGAUCAUGCAAGUCCACACUCGACGCGUUGACCAUACAAGAUGUUACUCAACUUUAACAAAUCUUACUCAAACUUUGCACGUUCGACAUGCCGGAUGGAAAAUGACAGUAUAUGAUAGUAAUAGAAUAUUAUAAGAAUAGUUAUAACAUGAUUAUACUUAGUACUAGUUUAUAUUUUAUGUGAUGUAUGUAGUAUAUGAAUGGAUUAUAUUACAAAUUUUAUUGUUAUAAUAAUUAAAAUUUUGAAUUAUUUUAUUAUUGAAAAAAUGUAAUAUGUUAAAUAAUAAUAACAGUUAUUUUUAUUAAGUAUUUUUUUAUGUAAUGAAUUAUACUUUUAAAAUAAAAUAAAAAAUUCUUAUUACUGAACUGAUAAAAAAUUAAUUAUUUGAGUUAUCUCCUAAACUACUUAACUCACGACAUAAAGUCACUUAGUUUAAAACGAAGCGGUGAGUUUUACGUGGGAGCCACGUCCUUUCCACAUCAACCUCAACAUCCAAACAUGAAAUUGGACUAAAAAUAGUUCUUUCCAAUGUAUUUGCGUAACCUCCUCCCACUAAACGCAAAUAUGUAUUCUUGAGUGCAUAAUUACUAACAUAAUUUUCUCCCUUUGCCAUAUUGUCGACGUUGAGUGCAUGUAAUCUACAAGUUUGAUUGAGCAGAAGAUGACGUUGUCACAAAGGCCUGGACACCAUACCUCGAACCCAUCCCUUUUUUUGUUCGAAAGAAAAGAAUGAUAUGUUGGUAUGAAAUUAUGUUAAAAUGAAUAUAUCACCUUUUUUUUCUUUUUUUGCGUGAGUGAUGGCUUUGUUUACUGACAGUUGACAGACAACGAGUUAUCUUUUAAUUUUGAUUUUGAUUUAGAUUUAAUACAAAAUAUUAAUUUUUGUAGUUUCGGUAGAUGAAAUUUCGAAUCAAAUAUUAAUAUUGUUAAAGUACGCAACCCAAUAUUUGCUUAAAUUACAAAAAAGAUUAAUUGCUUUGCAUAAAAAAAAAAAGUGAUCACUUGAUUUAACUUCCUUUACUAAAUUUACGAUUUAAAAUUCAAAAUAAAAAAAAAGGAAAACAAAUUUUGGAGACACACUCGGAGUUUUAAAUUGAUAUGAAAAAAGAGUUUAUUAUUGAUUAUCUUUUUCCCAAAAUUUAAGCUAAGACAGCAAUAUGUCCAAAAUACACUCCACAUUAUCCUAAAACUUUAUGAACUCCCCCGUUCCUCUCAACAUCAUCUCUUCCAAAUCUUUCUCCCCCCAAAAAACCAGCCAUGGCUUCAUAUUUAGUUAUCUCAACACUCCAUUAUUGGCUUGUAAACAGUAGCGGCUCGACCUCUAGGCAACUUAGGCGGUUGCAUAGGACUCCACUUUAUAUGAAAGCCCUACGAGAUGAUUAUUUUGUAUAUAAAAGAGGAAAAUGAAUUUAAAAGUCAUUAUUAUUAAUUUAAUUUAUUAUUAUUUUGUAAUUAUCUUUUUUAAAAUAAACUAUCAAAUUCCUAUAAAGUUUAUUUAAUAUAGUACUUAAUUGUUUAAUUUCUACAAAACCAAUAAAUUAAUAGUUUCAAUCUUAAAAAUUCUCUAUUUCAUUGUUAGAAUUAAUAAGUUAUAUUUCAAAAGUUUUAUAUUUAUUUUAAACCUCUAUAAAAGCCCCACAUUUUAUUACUUAUCCAUUAAAUUUUUCCUCCAACAAUCAAGACAUCUUGGUGUUUGAGUGAAAGAGAGAGGGAAAAAAAUCUUGCUUCGUGCCUGUUUGGUAUGACAUAUUUAAGAGCCAUAAGUGCUUAUUUAAUUAUAUAAGCACUUUUUAAAAUUUUUUAUGGUGUUUGGUUAUUUUUUUAGUAGAGUUUUUUUAACUUAAAUAAGCUAAUUUACCUCUACUAGCAAAAGCUCAAAAUUUGAGCUUUUGGAAGUAGAGGUUAUAGAGCUUUUCUAAAAAUAUAUAAUAUAAAAAAUAUUACACAGUUUAAUGAUUCAAAAGUACUUUUUUUAUUGACAACCAAACACCGAAUGACUUUUUGUCCAAAAGCUCUAUUGGUAUAAGCUCUACUGCUAUAAGCUCUAUUGUUAUAAGCUCUAUUUAAUAAGAUGUACCAAACAGAGCCUUCCUCUACUUUCUACUCUAGAAGAAAAAGAAAAAAAUCUAAUAGUUUUCUCUAUUUUCUAUGACUAUUGGUCGUUACUCAAAUUUUAAAACAAUAGCCUUAAUAUAAACAUAAGUUAAUUUAUGAUUUCAUCUCAAAUUUCUGAUUUUAUAUUUUUAUUAUUCUCUUAAUUAGUUGUGUUGUUAUUUGUUCUUAUUUCUUUUUAAUAUAUUCUUUUAUUCAUCUACUUUUUUUUGUGAUUGUUUUAUCUAUUUUGAAAUAAAACUAUAUCAAAAAACUUUAGACAAUAGAAGAAUAGAAAAAUUAGUUUAAUUUAGAAAAAAAAGUAAAAAAGAUAUAAUUUAACUUAAAAAAAUAAGUGGAAAUGUUAUAAUUGAAUUAAAAUUUUAUGAAUUAACAACAAUAAAAUAAAUUUUUAUUUAAUAAUUUUACAUUUUAAAGUCUUUAAAGAAUUAAUUUUAAUAAAUAAUAUAUAUAUAUAUAUAUAUAUAAGUUACUUAUCUCUCCAUCCUCACUUACCUCUCCCUCACAUUCAUCCUCUACCACACAUCAACACCAACAUCAACAUCAACACCAACAUCAGCAUCACUACCAUCAUCACCUCUCAUUGGACCCCACAUCCUCAAGCCCAUCACAGCCGUCCAUAACCUCACCCUCCUCCUCCUCUCCCUCAUCAUGGCCGUUGGUUGCCCUCUCUCCAUCAUCCUCCACUUACCCCACCUCCGUUACACCCUCCGUUUCCUCCUUACCAUUUCUCCGUCUGGCAUGGCCUAAUUCCGACGGAAUCAACGACGGUCGUGAUGGGUUUUGGCUGCGAUUAUUCGCGCUUCAAACGGCGGCGUUUCGAUUGGUUUUUGGCGACAGUGACGGUGGGAAAGUGAUGGCUGGCUCAGGAGCUUUCGUUGCUACCAUCCAUGGACGGUGAGGUGGCGGAAAAUCGGAGAUAUGUCUGGGUCGGGUUUUCCGGGUCAGUUUGACAGCUUCCUCUAUCCCUCUCCCCCAUAAAACAUUACCCAGCUUCCUCUUAUUAUUAUUAUUAUUUUUCACAUACGUUACAGAACAUUAAUGAGAGAUGUUUAGUAAGGACUAUAUUGAUAUUUCGAUGAGUAGUAAAAAUUAAUGUUAAAAUUUUAUAGACGAGUGUAUAGUAAGAUGCUCAAAGUAUUAGAACAUACAUAAAUAAUCCCAGCUCUAAUAAAUUUUAUCCCUUCAGCAAAACAUAUCGAUAAAGUAUACAAAAGCACAAGGCAUGAGUACAUGUCAAUAACAAAUGAAAGUAAUUAAGAUAAAGAAUAUGCUUUAUUUCCUUUUAUUUUCGUUUUUUUUUUUGGUGUCUUUUGAAAGGAGACCAACUAGAUCAUGCAAGAAGUUAAUUUUUUUUUUAAAUAAAAAAGGGAGAAAUGAUGGUCUUACAAAGUUCCAAUAUAAAGUUUAUAAUAUAAAAUUAAUGAUGUGACAAUUAAACUAAUGGAGUAAGAAGUCCCAAAUAGAUUAUAUUUUGCUAAAGAAGUCAAUUCUACCAAGAAUACCUCUUUCUAUUGAAUUUAAAUGAUGAUUAUUUUUUUAUAUCAUAAAAGCUAAAAUAAUUGUGUGAGUAAUUUGAUUCUUUUACACUAUAAAAAUAAAUUCAGAAAAUGUUAGGGCAUGUUCUGUAUUUUAUUUUUAAAUUCAUAUUAUGAGAAUGAAAAUGGUGUUUUCAAGUUUAUAAAAUUUCAAUUGAAAUAUGUGUUUGUUAUUAUUUUAUUUAUCAUAUAUUUUCAAAAUGAUAAAAUAAUGGAUGUAUUAAGCAAUUUUACUACAUGCAAAUUAUUAUCUGUGUUUAAAGUUCAUAUAAAGCUUGUUUAUUUUUCAACAUACCAACUUCCAAUAAUAAUAAUAAAAUUUUUGUGAUAUCCAAUAUUAACUUUUUAAAUUAAUUAUUUUUUGUUAAUGUGUCCGCUGUUCAAUCGAUCUUCCUACUUUCUAUGCUUGAGAUUAGAUCAUUUGCUUCAAAGAUUCGAACUGGACUUAUAGUAGGAAAAAGAAUUUUCUUCAAUAUGAACUCUAAUUCUCUUUUUUUAUAUAUAUAUAUAUAUAAAAUCUAAUUCUCCUUUCAACAUUUUAACAUUUUGAUGAAAUAAAAAAUUAUUGGCGAAAGAUUACAUGCUUCCUUACAUUAGAGAACCAAACACUCAGAUAGGUAGUGUAAAUCUCUACUGAUCGUUGGUGAUUUUAUCAAAAUAAAAUUCAAUAAAAUGUAUAAGCACACUUAAAUCCGUCCAAAAAAACAUAAAUGACCCAGCAAAUAAAGAAAAGUACUGUGAAGUAAAAAUUGAAAAGUACAAUCCGUCGAUCAUUUGAUACGUAUUUUUCUUCACAGAACCUCAAUUCAAUAGACAAAAGCUCCUCUUAAUUUUUCUUUUCUAUUUAAAUAAAAGAACAAACGAAAUUGAUUACGGAGCCAUUAAUUUCCAAGAAUUAAUAAAUGAAAAGGCCCAUAAUUUUUGUUAACCCACCCCACUCUCAAGAAAUAAUUACAAUAAGUUCAAAUUAUUUUUUAAAAAUUGAAAUAAAGAAGAUGUAAUUACAAUAAGUUUGGAGAUUGAAUCAAAUAAAAUAAAAUACCUAAACUAUUAUAAACAAGAACUCUUGAUUCUUGGGGUAUUUUAGUCAUUUUAUAUUAUCAUGGUAAAUUAGUCAAAUAAAACUUAUCUUAAAGCAACCUAAAUGGUCAAAGACACCUAAGUUAAAAAAAAAAUUAUAUGAAUGAUUUAAUUUAUUGAUUGUCUAUACGUUUUAUUGAUAUAUAUAUUUUAAAAAUAGUAUGAACGUAUUACAAUUAUUUUCUGACAGCAAAGUAGAUUUGUAAAAUAAGUGGGUAGAAAAUAUCCCCGUCCUCAAACAAAUAAAUGAAUUAUCGGUGAUGCAUGCUUUUUUCCAACUUUUGUUUUUUUUUUCUUUUGGUUUUUUGUUUUUGUUUUAAAUGGCAUUGGCCCGACCACUACAAAUUAAUUAGAGAAUAUUUACAAUUAUGUAUCACAGCUGUGGAGUAGAAUCAGGGAAAUUAAAAAUGCCAAAAUUAUUGACGCGUGGGUUAGGCGACAAUAACCAUAAACAUUUUUCAUGUAGUGUAAGAAGAAUGCAACAACUCGUUUCUUUCGGUAUUUUUGCAACAAAAGUACGUUGAACAACUUCCCGGAGCAGCUGAACUCCUUUGCUGCUUGUGACUUACCAUAAAUCUUCAAGCCAUUCAAGCUGUGCUUGAAGAUGCAGAGAAGGCAAGUUGAUAUAAGAUGGUUGCAUGGAAUAAGCAGGGUAUCUUCCGAGGCUAGAAAUUGGGCUACGAGUAUUCGUUUUGGACAUAUAAUAUAGUUUCCAAGCUUGCGAUGAGUCGAACCAAAUGCAGAACAACCUAGGCUGUUAUGCCCUGCGAUUGAGCUAAAAAUUUCACUUCUUUUAUAGUCGUUUUUCAGUUUUAAGAUAUUUUUUUAUUUUUCUUGAUUCUUCUAGAAUUUUUAUCAUUUUUUCUAGAUGUUGGAUUUAAGUGCCAUCUAUUUUCUUUCUCUUAUUUAGAUUCGAAGAAUUUUAUUAUCAUAUAAUAUUUUGAAUUUGCUUAGUUUGUUAAAUUUGCUAUAUUUAGGCUCCUAUAAAUGGGAUUCAAAACCCUAAUUUUGUUCAUUCAAAUUAUUCUCAAUAAAACUUAUUAUUCAAAUACUAGUUUAUAUUAUCUAAUAGCUUUUUAGUGUUUCUGCAUCAUCAGCUGGUAUCAGAGCAAGUUCACUUGUCAUCAUGGUGCGACCACACAAUCAAAGGAGCAACCAUCCUGGAGACGAUGUUCAAAUAUUAGGUUAUCUCUUGUAAGCCAUAUUCAUAAAUGUAUUGAGGGAAAGAUACUUUUUUCUUGUCUUAAAUGAUGUGUGGGAUGGACGUUAUAAUUAAUGGGAACCAUUCUUCUGUUGUUUAAAGAAUGGUCUCUACGAUAGUCAAAUUUUGAUUACUGCACGUAAUCAGUUAGUAGCAAGCAUGAUGAGAUCAACAAAUCUUACCUUUCUUAAGGAAUUAAUUGAAGAAGAAUGUUGGUAAUUGUUUAAGCAGGUAGCAUUUUUUGGUCAAUUCUUCAAGGAUCAUGAUCAAUCGAUCAAAAAGUUGCAUGCAAGUGCAAAGGUUUGCCUUUUGUUGCAAAGAUAAUAGGGAAAUUCUUACACUAUAAAUGACCAAUAGAAGAAUAGAAAAGAAUUUUAGAUAGUGGAAUGUGGAAGGUAGAAGAGUUUGGGAAAGGUCUUUUGACUCCUUUGUUGUUAAGUUAUAAUGAUUUAUCGUCCAUAGUAAAACAAUAUUUCUCACAUUGGGCUAUCUUUUCAAAAGGUUACAAUAUGUGUAAAGAGGAACUAAUUACACUAUGGAUGGCUCAAAGUUACUUUAAAUGUAGAAGAAGGCAUUGUCUAAAGCAUGGUCUCCAUGAAAGUAAAAAUUUGGUUUCCACACGUAAUGAGUCAGUUGCAUGUAUGAUGGGAUCAAAAAAUAUUAUCUUCAUUGAGCAAUUGACUGAAGAGGAAUGUUGGUUGUUGUUCAAGCAGUUAGCAUUUUCCGGUCGCUCUUUGGAGGAUGGUGAAAAAUUAGAACCAAUCGGACGAAAAAUUGCACGCAAGUGCAAAGGCCUGCCUCUUGCUGCAAGGUAACAGGGAAUUUAUAGGGGAUGAUAAAUGCAUAUAUAGUGGCCAAGUCGCUCAUUACAUUUCAUCUCUCAUACGAAUAUGAUUUUGAAUUUGAAUUUCCAUGAAUAAUUGUCGGGCUGGUGCAGAUAUUCUUAAAAGGGCAUUAAGCUACCUCAUGAAAUUGGAAAGUUAUCAUUGCUUGAAUGAAAGCACCAUCUUCUGUUGUCAAGGCUUUCCCCACACGAUGAGAUUCUGUGCUUGUUAUCGGCCCCUUAAUUAUUUAUUAAAUCAGGUUUUUAUUAUCAAGUACAUCAUCUUAUUCACCAUUUUGGCUAUAUAUAAAGAUUAAAAUUUCUAACAGUUGUUUUGGAUUCUUGUGUAAUCAGAUAAUUGGGGCAAAUGUCAGAAUGAGGAUUGUUCAGUGCUACUGGUACGGCAAUGAUGGUGAUGGUGAGGAAGAUUGUUCGCAAGCCAAAUUGAGCCCUCCAUUUUGUGAAAUAACAUCCUCAAAUUUGAAUUGUUGAGCACAUGAAGUGAUGCUAAAGCCUUAAUAAUAGGACCUUCCAAUGAAAGUUUCAUUUGAGUGAAUUAUGGGAGAAUGAAACUUCUUGGAGUGAGUGAGAAAUUAAGCAUAUAUCAGCGAUUAGUGAAUGUUUUUCUUUAACAUUAGUACACUCUUAUUUCUUAGUAAAAUUCUCUUCACGUCGUUGACUGUGACGUAGACCAAAAGCUGAACAAUGUAAAAUUAUAUUGUUAUUUCCUUAUGCUUGUUUUGCUAUAUAUCAUUUCUGUGCAAUCAAGAAUGUAAUUUUGUAAUUAUUCAACUCUGCUUCCGCAAACAUGCGGUAUCUUGCAGAUUUUUUUCUCCCUUUUUCUUUCUGCGUUAAAACUGCAACAAAUGGAAGUGACUGGCUUGAUCUUAGCUCCUGUAAAAAAGUGCUUGGGACAAUGUCUUUUGUAUCAGCAAGUUAUCGAACAUCAUAAUUUAAAUAUAGAAUCCUGAGUUGCUAUCGAAAAUUCCAGGUGUUUCACUUCUCAGUUUCUUAAAAGCUACAAAUCUUGAUAUAUAUUGACAAAGCAAACCGUCCGUGGGCUGAAAUGCUUCCACGGAUCAGGAAGGAAUUUGGUGUUGACACUGUAUGUUAUGCGGAUAACUACAGUUGAUGAUUUUUACCCAAAAUUUGUCACAGUUGACAAUUCACUUACAGUGUUUCCUUGUGUUAUCAGGCUCUCAUCUGUGAAUUGAAAGAUUAAGAAAGAUUGAUUCUAACUGACUUAUGCAAUUGAAGAUUAUGAAAAAGCAUUUGCACUAAAGUUCCCAGCUUGUUUAAUUUCUGUGAAGAGGCACAUUCAUUCUGAGUACUUGAGUUUUAGAUUUCCAAGAUGUGUAAUUUUAGUUGCCAUUGAAAUAUUUAGUCGCUCAUUCUUAAAAAUCUGUUCUAAUUUUCCUGUUAUUUUGGGCCAUAAACAGCUUAACAAGUCUGCAUGUGGUUUCUAAAGAUUGAUGGUUAUGAUAAAUUGGAAGAUGCUCUAAAUAUAACAAAAGUAUAUUUCUACUUGUGGUCAAUUUACAUUUGUUUCUUGUGUCAUUAUGCAGAUUAAUUUAUUCGAAUUUAUCCUAUCUCAUUCAUUUAUUUUAGACAAAGUUUGAAAAAAAAAAAUUAUAAGUAUACAAUUUCCAAUGGAUUUGAUAGAGCGGUCAUCAACCAUAUUGAUGUUAUUGGAGUAGCACUGUUCUUAAGCACUGCUUUGAGGUCUCUCCCUCUCUAUAUACAUUGAUAGUCUAUUCUGGUCGUACCAAAUUAUCCUUGUUUUAAUGUUUUGUUUGUUAAACUUUGACUGGGGAAUCUGUUUAUUUGUCUGAUAAGAGGUUAGUGUGGUUUCUAUUGAAGUGUGUAGAUCUAUCACCAAGUAUUAUUUCAAUUUUUCUUUACUUAAUCAACUUGCAUCCUUUCCAAGUCCAGAUCCUUAACAAUAGUGAGACUUCGCUACAGAAGUACAAUUUCUCUAGUUUGACAGUUAAAUACGUAAGAAUGGUUUUAAAUUAACUGAACUCUGAGAUAGUUCUCUAAGGAAAUACAAGUAGUGAAUACCGUUCCAACUUUUAACUGCCUUAAUAUAUCCAUUUGUUCAGCCCUGUGCAUAAAAAAUCAGUAAUUGCCGUCCAAAUUCUUCUUUACUGCCUAUAUGUGUUGGACUUUGUCUAUUCUUCAACUUCUCAAAUGGAUUUUUUGAAUGUCCAAUUAGGAGAAAGAUCAAGGCUUGCUUGGCUACGAGUGGAAGCGGAUCCGCUACUUCAAUCAUAUGACCUUUUGAAGAAGGCUUACAACGGGGCGGCUCAGGAUGUCAAUGGCUCAACUCAAAAGUCCCCAAAGUGGUUGAUAUCAAAGAAUGCCAUUGUCUCUGGGCUUGGGCUCCUUGGCAUCAAACAAGGGAAUGUCGACUCUGUUGAAGGGGAAGCAAGGGCUCCUAAAGUGCGAAGAAAGAGGAUAGUCCGGAAGAAGGUGACCGCAUAAAUUUCUUGGGAGUUAAUCCUAGUCAAUAGCCCAAUUUUGCUGCCUGUCGAAGAGAUACAACACGGAAGUCGUCAUCAAACUCUUUUGAGACAUCUAAGAACUAGUAGGGAGGUGUUUCCAGGCAAGUAUAGUUCACUGAUAGAGGGAUUCUUUUCUUGAUGUCUAAAUACUAUAUGUGAUACAACGUCGUAUAUUCCAAUUUUUCUCCAGUUAAAUUCUAGUAAGUUAGAAAAGUUAAUUUUGUUCUAGCGAUGAAUUGUUUUGUUAGGCAGUGUUUACUUUCUGGAGUGAGAGUGAGGAGUGUGGAUUCCUCCCAUUCCAAUGUUUACUUCAACAAAAUAGGUAGGGAUUGGGAAUCCCACUCCGUGGGCCCCACCCAUUUUUGGAGUGGGGAGUGGGAGUGGGAGUCCACUCCCACCUCUCCCUUUUCUACCCUUUAUUUUUAAUUUAAUUUAAUAAAAUAAAAUAAUUUAUAAUUAUAUUUAUUUAGAUAAUAUUAUUAUAUUUAACUAAAUAAUAAUUUACAUUGAUUAUAAGUUAAAAUUACUUAAAAUAAUAAUAUUAUAUUAAUAGAUAAUUAAUAAAUAUAUGCUAUCUUUAUUUAAUAAUAUAAUAUUAUUAUAUUUAUUUUAAAAAUAAUAUUACUAUAUUUAUUUAAUAUUAAUAAUAAUAAAUAGUUCAUUCUAAGAAAAUAUUAAUUUUUUACUAAAUAAUAUUAUAUUAAUAAAUUUAAUAUAAUUAUAUAAAAUAAAAUAAUGUUUCAUUUUAUAUUUACCCUUCUUUUUAUUAAAUUUACUAUAACUAUAUUUAAUAAAUAUUUAAAUAAUAUUAUUAUAUUUAACUAAAUAAUAAUUGGGUUUGAUUCUAAGUUUAAUUUACUUAAAAUAAUAUUAUUAUAUUAAUAGAGAAUUAAUAAUAUUACUAUAUACAAUCUUUAUUUGAAAAUAUAAUAUUGUUAUAUUUAUUUAAAAUAAUAGUAUUGUAUUUAUUUAAUAUUAAUAAUUAAUACUAAUAAAUAGUUUAUUCUAAGAAAAUAUUAAUUUCAUACUAUGUUAAUAGUAAAAAUAUUUCAUUUAUAUUGCCCUUAUCAACAAUUUUUAAUUUAUAUAAUUAAAAUUAAAAAACUUGUGAUGUUCAUAAUUAAGAAUAUUAAUAAUUAUUAUAAAUUUACAAAUAUAAUAAAAUAAAUGUUUAUUCAUUAAAUAUAUUUUAUAUUAACUUUGUAAUUAAAAACUAUAAUUCUUUACAUAAGGAUAAAAUUGUAAUUUGAGACUAUUUACUCCCAAUCAAAGACAAAGUAAACACAUAAAUUGGAUUAUGAUCUCCAUUCCAGUGCAAGUAAACAACCUACUCCCACUCCCACUCCAUACUCCCAAUCCUAGGAUUCACACUCCUCAGGAUUCCCACUCCAAUCCAAAAAAUAAACGCUACCUUAAUAACAAUAAUUGCAUGUUGCUUUGGAAUCUUAUUCACUCUCUGCAACCCAGUUAAAUUGUGCAAAUUCUACUGUAGAUUUGUCAGAGUGUCUUUGUGAUUUCUUUGAUACAAUUUUGAUCGCAAAUUUCAGUUUGAAGAAUCAUGUAAUACCAAAAAACCAUAACAUGUAAUUACUUGAUCAUACUCGACUUCCUAUUUAGUACUACCGUGUUGUUAGGGAUGGCAAUGGGCACCGCCCGCAGCGGGUUUGCCAUUACCAAACCCAAACCCGCACAAAAUUUAAAUUACCAAACCCACCCGCAACCCGCAGCGGAUUUUAAUUUUUUUACAAAAACCCACCCGCAGCGGGUUUUAACAAUUACCAAACCCGCAAUGGUGUCUGGCGGAUUUUUUGUGGGUUUCCGUAUUUAAAAUCACAAAUGUUUAAUAUAUAAAUUUAUAAUAAUAACCUCAAAUUUCAUAUAACAUACUCAAUUUUAUAUUUAAACAAUGUAAAUGAAAAAUUAAAAUUUCCACAUCAAUUCAACACAAAUUCUCAAAUUUAAGUAUAAAUUACACAAAUCCAUUUUAAAAACUCAAACUAGUAUCUAAAAAUAAUAAUUACAUUUCAUAUUAUCAUUUAAAACAAGCUCCAAGAGAAGAUAUUCAUUUCAUUCACCACCAUAAGCACCCAUCCAACACAAUGCCUAUAAUAAUAAUUAAGAUUAAUAUUUUCAAAUACUAAUUCGAAGGAAAAUGCCUUUAGUUGUUUUUAGAUUAUGACUUUAGAAUAGGAGAUAGGCCACAUAUACACAUACACAACGUUGAGCCUUUGGCUAUUUGGUAAUUUGAUUAAUGACAUUAUUUUCUUUAUACAUUUUUAGAUUAAAAUUAAAUUAAAAAUAUUUGGAAAAAAUAUUGCGGGUUUUGUGGAUAUCCAUGCGGGUAUCCACCAGAUAUAAGGUUAAUACCAAACCCACCUGCAUCCAUGUGUGGGUUUUAAUUUAUAAUACUAAACCCGCCCGCAACGGGUAAAAUUACCCGCAAUGGGCGGGUUUUGGCGGGUGGGUUUGGGCGGGUUUGUGGGUUUGCGGGUACAAUUGCCAUCCCUACGUGUUGUAGUUAUAGUUAUUGUGAAAAAGGAACUGAAACUAUAAUAUAAAUGUUGAUCUUGUUUGUAUAUAUGAUUUUUAAAUAAUAAUUUUGGUAAAAUUAAUAAAUGUAUUAUUGAUUUUUUUAUACUCCCAACUUAAUUUUUAAGUCACAAUAAUAAAUAUUUAUUAAAUACUUUGAUACUAUAACUUUAAAACUAUGCUCCGCGGCACUCUUAUCUAAUUUUAAUUGUACUUUCUAGCUCGAUUAUAGAAAUCCUUACUCGAUGUACUUUACCAUACAAGAUGUUACUUUACUUAAUCUUACUCGACUUUAAUUGCAUAUUUUAUAACGAAUUUUUUUUAAAAAAAUUGGUCCCGAUUCCAGCAAAACAGUAACUUCCAUUCAAAAGGGUUCCACGUUGAGUGCAUGUAAUCUGCACAAGUUUGAGAAGAAAUAACCAAAAAAAAAAGAAACCCACGUCCAAAGAUGCCGUUGAAACAAAGGCCUAGACACUGUAUCCCAUCCCCUUUUACCAUAUUUUAUAAUUAAAGAGGCCGUCAUUGAAUUCAAAAAUUAUGAUCCAAAAUCCAAAAAUAGAAGAAGAAUUGGAAACAUACUCGGAGUUUUAAAUUGAUAUGAGAAAAGAAUUUAUCAUUUUUUUAACAAAAAUUUAAGCUAAGACGAAAAAAUAUGCCUAAAACACCCCUCACAUUAUCCCAAAAUUUCUAAACUCCGCCAUUCCUCUGACCAUCAUCUCUCCCAAAUCAAUCUUCCCCCAAAACCAGCCAUGGCUUCAAAUUCAAUCAGCUUAACACUCCAAUAUUGCUUGUAAGCCACCCACAAGUCCUCAACUUCACAUGGACUCAAGACCAAACCCUAGCUUCCUUCCGACACAUCCUCAUUCACUCCAUCAUUACUUACCUCUCCCUCACAUCCAUCCUCUACCACACAUCAACAUCAACAUCACCAUCAUCAUCACCUCUCAUUGGACCCCACAUCCUCAGACCCAUCACAGCCAUCCAUAACAUUUUUCAUUUUGAUGCUGAAUUAUCAUUUCACGGGAUUUGGUUUCCCUGGGUUUUGGGGUUGGUGCUUCAAUACUGUGUUUAAUGCUUCCCUUUUGGCCCUUUUUGUUAAUUUUCAUUACAAGAGCUUUGCUAAGAAAAGAAGCAGAGAUGAUCAAAACAACUAGUAGUUAUCCUUGUUUUGUGUUUUCUUUUUUAAUUUAUUUGAUUUUGGUUAAUUAUGAAUGGUGGUAAUGGGUUCAUUGCCAUUGACAGAGAUGUUUCCAGUUGCCUAAACUUUGUUUUUUUCAAUUUUGGUAGUACGUGUAAUUUGUCACCACAUUUGUUUAGUCUCUCCCUUUCAAAUUCCCUCUCACACAAAAAAAUUCGGAUUUGUAUUUUGUAAACUAACAUUUUUCAUUUUGUUAAUAAAUUAAUUAUUAUUAUCUACAUUUAUGUGAUAGGACACAUGCCACAUCAAUUAAUAUUAGAUCAUGAAUUUUUGCAACCCCAGCAAAAAAAAUUUAUGAAAGAUGUUUAGGUAAGGAUUAUUUUGGUCUUCUAAAGAGUAGAUUAAAAAUCAAUGUUCAAAGUAUUAGAACAUAAAUAAUCCCAGCUUUAAUAAAAUUUUGCCACAUAAUGAUUCUUAUCUCUCAAGAGAAACAUAUAAAUAAAAUGUACAAAGUUAGAAAUAUAGAAUGCAUUAGUACAUGUCAAUAACAAGACCAAUUAGAUCAUGGCAUUACUUAAUUUUAUUUUUAUUUUUUGCUUCUUUUGAAACAAGAUCAAUUAGUUAGAUCAUUGAAAAAGAAGCAGUCAUACAAAGUUUGAAUAUAAAAUUUAUAAUCUAAAAUUAAUGAUGUGACAAUUAACAUGUUAUUAACCUAGCUAAUAGAGUAGGAAGUCCCAAAUACACCAUCUUCUGCUACAGAAAUCAAUCCUACCUAGAAUACUUCUUUUUAUUGAAAUUUAUGAUGAUUUGUUUGUUUGCAUCAUGAAAGUUAAAAAUAAUUUUGUGAGUAAUUUGAUUCUUUACGGUACAAAAAAUAAAUUCGGAAAGUAUUAAUUUCUCUCAUACUUUUAGGGCUAAAAAAUAAAAGUAAGUCUAAUAUAUUUAUUAGUUAAUGAUUAUAUAUCAAUCAUCUCUCAUACUUUUCGAUCUGAUCCAAUCCAAUCUGAAUAUUCUAGCCUAAUCAACCCGAAACCCAAUCAAGUUGAUCUGAACACAAAUUUACCCACUCCUAGCGGGGAUCAUGACCCUACAAGCUUUGAAAAAUUUUGAGGUUUCGAAGUGAAAUAUUAAAAAUUAGGUAUAAAAAGACUGAUUUGGCCCCUAAGCAAUUAAUUUGAGAAUGUUACAUUUUCCAUUUCUCUUUUUGUCGUGACAUAAUAGACUAAAACGGAAUCACAUACUUCUUCAAAUGCCCAAAUGGCUUUGGCCUAAUAAAGUUAUAUAUUGACUGUGGACUAAAACAGAGCCACAACUUUUUCGAAUGACCAAAUGAAUUAAUGAGACAAUGGCGUUUGCCUACCUUGAUAACAAAAGUCGUCGGCCAUAAUCCAUAUAGACAAAAAAAUGGUCCAUACGUUAAGGUUAAAUUGAAAAAUAUAAUAAAUAAAUUUCAUUUGUGAUGAAAUUCGUAAUGGAUUUAUUACUUAGUUAUCUUUCACAUAUUUUCUCUAUAAUAUCAUAUAAGUUAUAGACCACAGCAUGAUAUUUAUUGCAAUUAAAAUCAUUGUGAAACUGAUUUUAUUCUUUUUUUUCUUCUCAAACAAAGUAUCUAGCUAAUUGCAGAUGUAAUAAAUUACUAAUUAACAUUAUUUUAUCUGAAAAAUAUAAUAAAUAAAUUGUCAGGAGAUGAUUUUAUCUGAAAUUUCACUUGCACGGUCCAGGCCACAUACAAAUUUGUGCUGAAAUUCAUAAUGGAUUAAUAUGAUUGGGCGAAAUUACUCUAUAUAUCAUUUCAUCAAUAUCUAUUAAACGAUAAAAAAUUUAUUGAUAUUUAUAAUAAAAAAAAUCUAUCCACUAAGUCUAUUCUAGAUCAACAAUUAAUAUAUUAUAUAUAACUUCAAAAGGUUCAUCGGUGGAUUGAUCUAAGCCUUUUGUUGUAGUUUAUAAAUAUUUUGUUGCUUAUAAUGUAAGAAAUUUUACAGGAGCUGAUGCUGAGUAGUCUGAAUAAGAAAAUUAAUUAUAUUGUAAGAUACUGGGUAUUCAUGAUAAAAUAAAUAAAUAAAAAAUGAAUAAAAAUUUAAAUCCUUAAUUAAUUUUUAUCAAAUUCUUAUCAAAUAUUUAAAAAAGUAUAUAAAAUCAAUUAAUUGAUGGUAUUAUUAAUUUUCAUGAUUAAUAUUAAAUAUAAAUAAACAAUAAUGACAUAAAUUAAAGUCUCAUAAAUGGAUAACUUUUUUUUCCUUAAUCUUAUCCCAAGUCCCAACUAAAGGAAUGUGUAAAUUAGGAUUAUUAAUCCCAUAAUUUUAAGAUUAAACUUAAAUUUAGUCCCUUAGUCCAAUUCAAUUAAGCUUACCAAAUUUGAUAUAAAUAUAUAAUCACAAAAUUAGUCCAAUUCCAUACUUAAUCCUAGUAUCCGACCAUGGCCUGAUAAAAUAGUUUAGGUAAUAUACUUUUAUGACUAGGGUUGGUAGAAAAGCCCGGGCCGGCCUAGGCCCGCAGGCUUUAAGCCCGACCCGUGGUUUGAAAUUAUGGAUAAAGGCUCGUAAUUAAUGAAGCCCAUAACAUAUGGGCUCAGUUAAGGGUCUAAAUGAAAAGCCUGGGCUUAAGCCCAGGCUUUAUAAUAAAUAAUAUAUAUAUAUAUAUAUUUUAAAAAAAAUUGUAUAAUAUAUUAUGAAAUUGAAAUUAAAAAAAAAAUUUAAACAAAACAAUAAAAAAAAUCGGGCAAAGGGCAAAGGUUUUGUCACAACUCACAAAAUCCCUAAAUCGGUAAAUCAAAAUAUCAAAUUAUUCGUGUUUCGUGAGCACCAUUUCGUGAGCAGUGAGCACCUGACAAAAUCUCACUCACUGUCACGGCGUCACCGUGCCGGCGUCUCACUGUUCUCGCCACCGGCAGCCAACAGUAGAGCAUCUCUAGAUUCCAGCAGCGUCGUCCAGCCAGCAUCAGCCAUCAGCGACCCACCUUCCAGCAGCAGUAGCAGCGAGCAUCUCCCGCGUAAGGCCAAUCCCACCGCCCAGCCACCCACCGUCCAGCCACCCAGCAAGGCAGCAACAGCAUCUCCCGCGUGUCGCAGGCUCGCAGCAGUGCCUCCCAGCAAUUUCCAUCAACAUUGGUAAGCAUUUUUUUGUGUCCUCACUCCUCAGUUUCUUGAUCUUUUCUUUGUCCCUUUCAGUGAUCUGGGUAAUGCUGCAUUUGAUCUUUUCAAAGUGGACUCUUUUUGAUCUGUUUGUUGUUCUAAAUUUUGUAAUUUUUUAUAUGGGUUUCGGCCAGUGGAGGAUUUGAUUUGAUUUUUUAUAUGGGUUUCGGCUCAUUUUCUUUAAAGCUUGUAAGUGUUUGUAGGUUGUUAAGAGGAUUUCAAUAGUUAAAGUAGAAAGAUUUGAUUUGUUAGUGAUUGAGAUGAUACCGGUUUCAAUAGUUAAAGGCUGUUAAGAGGAUUCCAAUGAUAUAGAAUUUAUUUCCUGUCUUCAAUUGCAGAGUGUUUAUAUUUCUCAAUACUGUUUAAUUUCCAUAUUCAUAUUAUUUUUCUCAGCCUGUACUAAGGUGAUGUCUCCAUUGUAUAGAUACUGACAUACUGUAUGGAGUUCUGGACAUUGUAAAUUUGUUGUCCUGUCACUCCUGUGCUUGUAAAUGCAGUAUGCGUUUAGUGCAUUUACACUUAGCUUAAUUAAUUUAUUAAUUUAAUAUUUUAUCUCCUUUAAUUUUGUAUAGGUUUAUAAUGGAAAAUGUCUCUGAACCUUCUAAUUUGCCUUCAAAUCUAUCUGUGGAGUCGGAAAAUGUUCAAGAAGAAAUGCGGAGUGAUAAAAAAAGAAAACAGAGGGUUGUUUCAAAUUGUUGGGACCAUUUUACAAAACUAAAUGUUGGUAGUGUAGCAAAGGCAAAAUGCAAUCAUUGUGGAACGGUUCUUUCUUGUGGAUCGGGAACCAGUCAUUUGAAUAGACAUACUAGACAAAUUCACGGUUUUAAUCAACCGACAAAUAGUUUUAUUAAAAAAAAUUUUGAAAAUUCGUAAAAGCCCAGGCCCAGCCCUAGGCCCGGCUCGCCCAAUUUGAAUGGGCUUUGAGAGGGCCUGGACUUUUUAAACUUUAUAAGGGCCUGGUCCUGGGCUUGGCAAAGCCCGGCCCAGACCCUUAAAUUGCCAACCCUAUCUAUGACUCACAAUUUAAAUAAAUUUGAGAAUUUAUAUAAGGGAUGGAAAAUUCACAAUAAUCAUAACAUGUGCUAUCUUUUCUUCCUUUUCUUAAUUAAAUAAAAGAAAAAAAUUAAUGACAGAACCACUGCUGUGUGAUAUCGAUGAAGUCGCAUUCGCCUACCUAAUAUUGCGCAAUCAGAUAGAAAAAAGGGUCGGCUGCAUGAUUUUUCCAACUUUUGUCUUAUUUUUCUCUUUUCCACUACAAAUUAAUUUGAGAAUGUUAUAUUUUCCAAUUCUCUUUUUGUCGUGACAUAAUAGACUAAAGCGGAAUCACAUACUUUUUCAAAUGACCAAAUGGCUUUGGCCUACCUGAUAAUAAAAGGAAUGGAUCCAUACGUUAAAGCUAAAUUGAAAAAUAUAAUAAAUAAAUUGUCAGGAGAUGAUUUUAUCAAAAGUUUCACUCGCACGGUCCCGACCAAAUACAAAUUUGUGAUGAUAUUCAUAAUGAAUUUAUACAAUUAGGCGAAACUACUCUAUAUAGUUUCAUCGAUAUAUAUUAGACCAUUACAAAUAUACUAAUAUUUAUAAUAAAAAAAAUUUAUGACUAUUUUAAAUCGACUGUAUUAUAUGUGAAUUCACAAGAUUCAUAGAUAGAUUGCACUGAGCUUUUUGUUGCAGUUUACAAAUAUUUUGUUACUAAUUAUCUUAAGAGCAGCAAGUAACUAAGAAAUUUCACAAGUGCUGAUGCUGUGUACUCUGCAGAAUUAACAAUGAAUUAUUAUGAAUCAGAGAAACAGGGCAGACACUGUACAAUUAUUGACGUGGUGGAGCAGAAAGCUAGCCCCAGACAGUGACUCAUGUGGGGACUCCUUCAAUUUGCAGCACAAAAGAACGUUCACAUUGACAUUGACUUGAGGGUAAAAAUUAAAUAACUCCUAUGGUAUAAGAAGAAUGCAAACAUGCUUGAAUGAACAUUCUCACAGAAUACAUAAAACCUACUUUCCUCUGAGCAUUUUAGCAAGAAAAGCAAUUGCAUCAUUUAUCAUUUGAUCUAAUAUCAGAAUGGCUCAUGCAAUCGUUUCCUCUCUCCUGGACCAGCUGAAUUCCAUUGCUCAAGGUCAGGUGAAAGAAAAGUUGAGGCUUGUGACGGGUGUCGAACAAGAAGUGGGUAAGCUUACCACCAAUCUUCAAGCCAUUCAAGCUAUGCUGGAAGAUGCAGAGCAGAGGCAAAUGAAGCAGGACAAAGCUGUUACGUUUUGGCUGGAUCAGCUCAGAGACGCAUCCUACGACAUGGAAGAUGUGUUGGAAGAGUGGAUCACUGAAACACGGAAAUUGCAGCUUGAUGAGGGCGGCGAUGAUGAUGAUGAUGAUAACGACAAUGCUUUUGUUACUCUUUUGACGAAGGUAUGUUCCUUCUUUCCUGCUGCCUCAAACUGCUUUGGUUGUUUCAAACAACUCAGUCUUCGUCAUCAUAUUGCUGUCAAGAUUAGAGAAAUCAGUAAAAGGCUAGAUGAAAUUGCCACUCGAAAAGAUAGGUUUAAUUUUGUUGAGAAUGUGAGUAACAAUGUUAGGAAUCCAGAGCGAGUGCGAACCAUCUCCUUGAUUGAUGAGAGAGAGGUUUACGGUAGAGUUGAGGAGAAAAAUGAGCUCUUAAGCAAGUUGUUGUGUGAAAGUAGUGAACAACAAAAAGGCCUUCAUGUCAUUUCACUAGUUGGGUUGGGGGGUAUAGGUAAAACCACUCUUGCACAAUUGGCGUAUAAUAAUGAUGAGGUGAAAAUAAAUUUUGAAAAAGUUAUAUGGGUGUGUGUAUCGGACACUUUUGAUCAGAUUAGGGUUGCCAAAGCAAUCAUUGAAGAUCUAGGUGAGUCAGCUUCUGGUUUAAACGAAUUCCAAUCUCUUAUGAGCCGUAUCCAGAGUUCAAUUAAAGGAAAAAAAAAUUUUCUUGUCUUAGAUGAUGUAUGGGAUGGGGAUUACAAUGAAUGGGAACCAUUCUUCCUUUGUCUAAAAAAUGGUCUCCACGGAAGUAAAAUUUUGGUUACCACACGUAAUGAGUCAGUUGCACGUAUGAUGGGAUCAACAGAUAUUAUCUCCAUUAAGCAAUUGGCUGAAGAGGAAUGCUGGUCAUUGUUCAAGCAGUUAACAUUUUUCGGUCGUUCUUUUGAGGAUCGUGAAAAAUUAGAACCAAUGGGGCGAAAAAUUGCACACAAGUGCAAAGGCUUGCCUCUUGCUGCAAAGGUAAUAGGGAAUCUCUUGCGCUCUAAAAGUACAGUAAAAGAGUGGCAAAGAAUUUUAGAGAGUGAAAUGUGGAAAGUAGAAGAGAUUGGGCAAGGUCUUUUAGCUCCUUUGUUGUUGAGUUAUAAUGAUUUGCCCUCCAAUUCUAUGGUAAAACGGUGUUUCUCAUAUUGUGCUGUCUUUCCAAAAGACUACAAUAUGGAUAAAGAGGAAUUGAUUAAUCUGUGGAUGGCUCAAGGUUACCUUAAUGCAGAAGAAGACGAAGAGAUGGAGAUGAUUGGGGAAGAGUGUUUCAACAUUUUAGCAACACGCUCUUUCUUUCAAGAAUUUAAGAAAAAUGCUGAUGAUGAUAUUAUGAGUUGUAAGAUGCAUGACAUAGUACAUGAUUUUGCCCAAUUUGUAAGUAGCAAAGAAUGUUUGUGGGUAGAAAUUAAUGGUACCAAAGAAUCAGUCAUAAACUCUUUUGGUGACAAAGUCCGUCACUUAGGGUUAAAUUUUCAAAGAGGCACUUCAUUUCCUAUGUCCAUUCGUGGACUUGAUAGAUUGCGUACCCUCCUAAUUGAUGAUGGAAGUCUGUCUCUUAGUAGUAGCAUCCUUUCGGAGUUAUUUAGUAAAUUGGCGUGUUUAAGGGCAUUAGUUAUAAUGCAAGGUUUUCAUCCUGAGACAAGUAGGAUUAGAGAAAUUCCAAAAAAUGUCGGAAAAUUGAUACAUUUAAAAUAUCUUAAUUUGAAUAGACUAUGUAUAGAGAUACUACCUGAGACUUUGUGUGAAUUAUAUAAUUUACAAAAGCUAGAUAUUAGUUGGUGCCGAAAUCUUAGAGAAUUGCCAGCGGGGAUUGGAAAGUUAAAGAACAUGAGGAGUUUACUGAAUGAUAACACUUAUUCAUUGAAGUACAUGCCGAUAGGGAUUUCCAAAUUAACCAAUCUUCGAACAUUAAAAAAGUUUGUGGUGGGUGGAGGUGUUGAUGGUAGCAAUACGCGUAGGCUUGAAUCUCUGAAAAAUCUUCAACUCCUUCGAGAAUGUGGAAUAGAAGGGCUGGGUAAUGUGUCCCAUUUAGAUGAGGCUGAGAGGUUACAACUUUACAAUAAGAAAAACCUCCUUCGUUUGCGUCUUGUGUUUGGUGGAGUCUUACAUGGGGAAGGCGAGAAAGAUAAACAACUUCUUGAAGCCUUACAACCGCCUUUGAAUGUAGAGGAAUUAUGGAUUAUGUUCUACCGAGGCAACAUUUUUCCCAAAUGGUUGACUUUGCUAACCAAUCUAAGGAAUUUAACACUUUCCUUGUGCAUUAACUGUGAGCAUUUGCCUCCUUUGGGAAAAUUGCCUCUGGAAAAACUCAAACUAUGGAAAUUAAAAAGUGUAAAAAGAGUGGGUAAUGAGUUUUUGGGAAUAGAAGAAAGCAGUGAGGACGACCCAUCUUCAUCUUCAUCGUCAUCAUCAGUUAUUGCCUUCCCCAAAUUGAAAUCACUCGAAAUUGUAGCAUUGGAAGAAUUGGAAGAGUGGAAUUACAGGAUUACGAGGAAGGAAAACAUCUCCAUCAUGCCCCGUCUUUCUUUCUUAAAAGUUGUUUUUUGCAACAAAUUAAAGGCGCUGCCGGAUUACCUUCUUCAAACGACGGCACUGCAGGAACUGCGUAUUUUUUCUUGUGAUCUUCUAGAAGAACUGCCCAUUCUAGAAGAUCGCAGGACAACAGACAUACCACGUCUUUCUUCCUUGCGAAUUUCGGAUUGCCCCAAAUUAAAGGUGCUGCCGGAUUACCUUCUUCGGACGACGACGCUGCAGGAAUUGACAAUUUGGAGAUGUCUCAUUCUGGAAAACCGUUAUAGAGAGGGGGAAGGAGAAGACUGGUAUAAGAUAUCCCACAUUCCCCACAUCAAGUGGUCGCCGUAAGAUAUCACUCGCCGGUAAUUUCUCCUCCUCCUCUGAUUUACUUCGUUGUUGCUUGCAAUGAAAUUAAUAAAAAUAAUUAUAUUUUGAAUUAAAAUUCUAUAUAGAAUCAAUCAUGGUAUAAAUAUGUAAAACUUCCUAGUUAUCAAAUCUGUUAAACUUGUUUUCUAAAGAUUAAAUAAUUAAAAAAAAACCAAGUGUAGUAUGUUGAAAUUUCUAUAUUUUCUUUUAAAAAAUUUGUGCUCUUUUAUAAAAUUUGAUACAACAUCGUAGAAAAUCCCAAUGUAAUUUAUUUUUUAAUGUACGAAAAGUUGUUAUGUGUAACUUCCUGAGAGAAAAAAUCUCUGUGAUACAUUUGCAGUAAUGUUGAAAACUAAAUUAUCAAUUUUAUCUUGUAUAAUGAUAAUCGUAUUUUUUUAUAUAUAAUUUAUGUGACAUUAAUUCUUUAAAGUAAUUGUGUAAUUGUUUUUAGUAGUACAUUAGCCCACUUUGUUUUAUUUCAUACGAGUUUAAUUAUGUUCACCAGGGAUUCGAGGAAAUGUCAGAACCACACUAGCAAUUCACAGGUCCAAUCUAAUUUGGUUUUAAUGAUGCAGGCAGGAGAGUAUUCUAAGAAAAUGAAAAGUUUAGCCAAAGGAUUGCUAAAAUGUUCUGCUGGUAAUUCACUUGCUUUAUUUUAUAGAAUUUCAUUUCCAUCUUCUUCUAUUGAUAUCUUGUUGUGAAUAAACAAGAACAGAGAAGUAAAUGAUUGAACCACAGAGAAGUAAAGAUAUAUCCAAAUUCGAUUAUUAUGAUGAUUAAAGCAAGCUCAAGCUCACGCAUUGCAUUUUUUAUUUUAUUUAGUUUAUAGAAUUUUCAUUUCCACCUGCAUUGCAUUUUUAUUUCAUUUUUAGGUUGACGUUGAAGACUCUAUGGAAAACAUUGGGGUAACCAAGGAUUAUCACUGUGGUUAUUGUGCAACGUUUGGUUGCUGGACUUUGAAGAAGGAAGUGAUGGCCGGGUCUGCUCUGUUUCAAUUGAGGAUGGAUAGCUGCCUGAAAGACAUGAUGAUUAUUAUUGCAUGAUGUUUAGGUGCUAAGAUAAUCAUUUAUAUCUUGCUUCAUUCUUGGAAUCAUUUAUCCUAUAUAAACAUAUUGAAUUGUGCUAAUAUUAUCAAUUUUUUCACCUAAUUUUCACUGUUGUUGUGAAAAGAAUUUCAGGCUCUCAAAAGCUACAAAGCAAAGCAUUUGUGGGCUGAUCAUAUGUUUCAAUUGAGGAAGGAGCUUGGUGUUGGCAAUAUUGUCCAGGUAACCACAGCUGAUAAUUUCCACAAAUUUGCAUUGUCAGAAUACACUUUAAUGUUCAUGGUGUUCCUCUGUGUUAUCAGGUUAUCGUGGUAUGUAAAGUAUCAUCUUUAAGGAUUUGUAAUAGACUUUGCAUUAAACUUAGUUGUCACCAGCUCCUGCAAUUGCUCACUCAUUCAAGAGUACUUCAAAAUUAGAUUUUCAAGGUUUGUAUGUUUAGUUGUGAUCAAAAUGUUUAGUCACUCAUUCUUAAUCUUUUCUGAUUUUCAAGUUCUUUAGGGUCAUAAACAGUUUUCCAACUCAUUCUUAAUUUUUAGGUUGAUUUCGAGUACCAUGUUGAGGACAUUCCUGAGACCAAGGAUUAGGCUGGCGAAGGAACCACUACCUCUGUUGUUAUUGUGCAAGGUUUGAUCAUUGGACCUUGAAUAAGAAUCCCUUACACGCAUUCUGUAAUUGAAGCGUUCUCUAAAGCAACAGAGCAGUUGAAGGAAUAGUGAUGGCCGGAUCUGCUCUAUCUUAAUUGAAGAUCUCUGUGAUGUUGAGGAGCUUAAAGCAGUUGUUGCUUUUUGAUUCCUGAAGACGAGUAUCUAAUGAUUGUUAAGGCGUAUUUCAUGAACUUCCUUUCUUAACGAAUGUUUCAAUGCUGGCUGUAGUAACAAUUUCAUAUCUUGCAUCUCUCGGGUGCAUCAUGUUCACGGGUUUGAAAAAGCAUUUGUGGUAAUGCUUCAAAGCUUGUACAAUGGCUGUGAAAAGGCACAUUCAAUUAGGUACGUUUUGGUGCGGUCUCCCAAUGCUAAUAUUAUAUUUUGUAUAGCAAUUAAAAUUUAGCUAUACAAUCUUAAUAUGCAAUAAAUCAUUGUAUACAAAGUUUUCUAUUAAUUAUAUGGUGACUGAAAUUUUAAUUAUCAUAUAUCAAUUUAAAUUUUUUUGUUACUCUCUUUUACUUUGCUUGUACAGAGUACCUGUUUUGGCUGAUAUGUCUAAUUCGUAGAAAUUCAUUUCCAUCGGUUUCCAUUGGCUUUAGCACAAACCGAAACAGAUCUCUGGGGAAAAGUUUUACUUCUUGUGAUAUUAUGCCUUUGUUUCUUCAUUCAUCAUAUUUUUCGAAUUCAUGCUCUCAUUCAGAGGGUAAAGCCUUUUUGAUGCAGCGGAAGUUUAAUGUUCAAAAUAUUCCGUUGAUUCUAGAGAAUACCGGAAUAAAAGAACAACUAAAUUCACGUUGAUUCAAAAGAAUACCGCGAACUUAGGGGUUAAGACUCGUUGAUUCAGAAUACCGAGAAUUAACUAUUCAAAUACUCACAAAGAGAUUUGAAAAUUGAAAUAUUAUUGAACUCAAAAUUCUCUACUUGUAAAAGUUACAAAAGACACUUAUUUAUACUAAAUAAGACUUAUCCUAAUAUGAUUAGAAAACCUAUUUUAAUAAGACUUAUGCCUAAAUUAGGAAUAUUAUCCAAAUAAGCAAUACCUAAACAAUAAGACUCUAAAUAGGAAACCAAAUUAAACUAGAAUACAAAUUAAUUAAAAUAUUCCUAAAUAUUAUACAUUUAAAUAUAAUUAGGAUUUCUUCAAUUUCUUGCUAUGCAUCAUUCCCGCCAGGUUGGAGAAAAUUCGUCCUCGAAUUUUGUAUAUUGUAAUCUUCAAGAAUAUCUUCAUGUGCAUAAGGAUUAAUUUUUAAAACAGAGCUUUGACAUAGACGACGAACUUUAAAUUUUCCAACUUUUGUAAUAACGUCCAUCCAAUCACUCCAAUGGCGUAAAAUAAAUUCUUCUAUCAACAACUUCUCCAAUAAUGUCUUCUCAUAUUGUUCGUGUCGAACUUCAACAUAGUUAAGGAAAAAUGAUUUUUUCUUAUAAUCCACUAACUGUUGAAAAAUAUCACAACUCUUUUUGUCUUCUUUCGGCAAAUCAAGAGAACAAUAAGAGAUUGUAUCAAUAACUAUCUCUCUCUCCUCCACAAGAUCAAAAGAUGGAUAAACAAUUACCUCUUCUCGUCCCACAAUAUCAAGAUUCUCAUCAAAUUUCGGCGAUUGAUCCAAAUCAAUAUUGUCUUUGUGUUGAGGAUUUGUUGUAGACAUGAAUGGCCAAUUAAUAUUCUCCUCGGAAGGAAUAAUAUUGUCGAAAGGAACAAAGUUACAAUUUUCCUCAUUAUCUUCAUAACAAACAUCACCGUGAACAACUUCAUCAAAUCCAUAUGCAUGCUUUAUGUGUAAAGAUUUUCUAUCUCGAAUUUUCUCUAAAUCUUGAGAAAUUGAACGCAAAAUCCUCAACAUCUUAACUAAAACAUCUCUCAAGAUGAAAUCUUCACGUCGAUAUUGUGAUUUCAUGAUAUAAUUUUUUUCUUUUUUUUUUCCUAUGCUUUUUUUUGGUGUUGUUUGGGUUUUUUUUUUUUAAACUAAACGGAAAAAAACAAAAAAGGAAAAAAGGAAAGGUUUGGUGGUAGAUGGAGUUAGAUUGGUGAGACCAGGUUUUGGCUCUGAUACCAAGCUGAUGCAGCGGAAGUUUAAUGUUCAAAAUAUUCCGUUGAUUCUAGAGAAUACCGGAAUAAAAGAACAACUAAAUUCACGUUGAUUCAAAAGAAUACCGCGAACUUAGGGGUUAAGACUCGUUGAUUCAGAAUACCGAGAAUUAACUAUUCAAAUACUCACAAAGAGAUUUGAAAAUUGAAAUAUUAUUGAACUCAAAAUUCUCUACUUGUAAAAGUUACAAAAUACACUUAUUUAUACUAAAUAAGACUUAUCCUAAUAUGAUUAGAAAACCUAUUUUAAUAAGACUUAUGCCUAAAUUAGGAAUAUUACCCAAAUAAGCAAUACCUAAACAAUAAGACUCUAAAUAGGAAACCAAAUUAAACUAGAAUACAAAUUAAUUAAAAUAUUCCUAAAUAUUAUACAUUUAAAUAUAAUUAGGAUUUCUUCAAUUUCUUGCUCUGCAUCACUUUUCCAGGCUGCUUUGUAGCCAAACUUUGACGCCUUUGAUGCAUGACUGUCAUUUAGAUUUUCCAAAUAACUGUUAGAUUGGAGAAGAAUAAGAAGAUACUGUUAAAAGGGUAUUUAAUUAGCGCCCUCUGAAUUUCUUGGAGUUAAUGUAGUCAAUUGCCCAAUUUUGCUUCAAACUCUGAGACACCUAAUAAAUAGUUGGAGGUGGUGGUAUUCGCCUGGUGUUAAUUUCCUGGCAAGUAUAGUUCACAGAUAGAGGGGUUCUUUUCUUGAUGUCUAAUUACCGUAUGUGAUACAACAUCGUGUAUUCCAAUUUUUCUCCAGUUAAAUUUUAAUACGUUAGAAAAGUUAAUUUUUUUUUAGCAAUGAAUUGUUUUCUUAAUAAUAAUAAUUGCCAUGUUCCUCUGAAGUCUUAUUAAUACCAGACCACCAACUACUAGGUUCAUCUCUCGUUCACUUCCUCAGGGAAUCUCGAGGGCAUUCAUUGGCAGGUAGUCUUUCUUGUUGAGCUCCUGGAAUUACUUUUAAUUUAUCAUUUGUUGGGUUUUGCUUUUUGAUUGCUUUGGGAUUUGUGUUAUUAUCGCUUUGUCGCUCAUUAAUCUUGGCUGUUUUGAAUCUGUGUUGGAUUUAGAAGUUUGGAGUUGAAAACAGUUAAAGCUUAGACUAGUAGAAGAGAUUUAUACAUUCAUUUAUCUUGGACAAAGUUUUUGGGGGAAAAAAAAAUUAUAAGUAUACACUUUCCAAUGGUUCGGUGAUGUUUGAUUGGUUUAAAGAUGUUGGAUCUCUCAUCAGAUUUCUUAUGUAUCGACUGCUGUUGCCACAGGAUGCUUGCAGAUCCUGCUUUUUUGUAUAAACUUCUACUAGAGCAGGCUGCCACAAUUGGUUGCACUGUUUUGUGGGAGUUGGAGAAUCAUAAGGAGAGGUGUGUUUUUUCUCUCAUAACAAAGGAACUCUUCCCUUCCUUUUUAUUUUCAUCUUAUAUAUUAAGCUAAUAAAUGUUUGCUUCUGUCGUGAUGGGAUAAAGCAAGAAUGGGAUCAGCUUAGUUUUGGUGCUUUCCUUGGACUAUAUGCAAACAUGAGAUAUCAGCUAUUGUGUGGAUUUGAUAGAGCGGUCAUCAACCAUUUUGAUGUUACCAGGUUAUCUCUCCCUCUCCCUCUUCUACGCAUUUGUUUAUUGAUCUACAUCUCUAUAUACAUUGAUAGACUAUUCUGGACGUACCAAAUUACCCUUGUUUUAAUGUUUUGCCUGGGGAAUCUGUUUAUUUGUCUGAUAAGAGGUUAGUGUGGUUUCUAUUGAAGUGUGUAGAUCUAUCACCAAGUAUUAUUUCAAUUUUUCUUUACUUAAUCAACUUGCAUCCUUUCCAAGUCCAGAUCCUUAACAAUAGUGCGACAUCGCUACAGAAGUACAAUUUCUCUAGUUUGACAGUUAAAUACGUAAGAAUGGUUUUAAAUUAACUGAACUCUGUGAUAGUUCUCUAAGGAAAUACAAGUGGUGAAUCCGGUUCCAACUUUUAAGUGCCUUAAUUUACCCAUUUGUUCAGCCCUGUGUGUAAACAAUCAGUAAUUGUUGUCCAAAUUAUACUUUACUGCCUAUAUGUGUUGGACUUUGUCUAUUGUUCAACUUCUCAAAUGGAUUCCAUGCAGGGUUCUUAAUGUCCAAUUAGGAGAAAGAUCAAGGCUUGCUUGGCUAGGAGUGGAAGCGGAUCCGCUACUUCAAUCAUAUGACCUUUUGAAGAAGGCUUACAACGGGGCGGCUCAGGAUGUCAAUGGCUCAACUCAAAAGUCCCCAAGGUGGUUGAUAUCAAAGAAUGCCAAUGUCUCUGGGCUUGGGCUCCUUGGCAUCAAACAAGGGAAUGUCGACUCUGUUGAAGGGGAAGCAAGGGCUCCUAAAGUGCGAAGAAAGAGGAUAGUCCGGAAGAAGGUGACCGCAUAAAUUUCUUGGGAGUUAAUCCGAGUCAAUAGCCCAAUUUUGCUGCCUGUCGAAGAGAUACAACUCGGAAGUCGUCAUCAAACUCUUUGAGACAUCUAAGAACUCGGAGGGAGGUGGUGGUAUUCAGUGUGUUUCCUGGCAAGUAUAGUGCAGUGAUAGAGGGAUUCUUUUCUUGAUGUCUAAAUACUAUAUGUGAUACAACGUCGUAUAUUCCAAUUUUUCUCCAGUUAAAUUUUAGUAAGUUAGAAAAGUUAAUUUUGUUAUAGCGAUGAAUUGUUUUCUUAACAAUAAUAAUGGCCUGUUGUUUUGGAAUCUUAUUCACUCUUGUAACCUAGUUAAAUUGUGCAAAGUCUACUGCAGAUUUGUCAAACUGAGUGUCUUUGUGAUUGUUUUGAUACACUUUUGAUCGCAAGUUCAAGUUUGAAUCAUCUUGUAAUGCCAAGAAAACCAUAGCGCUAUUAGUUACUAGAUCGCACUCGAGUUUUUGUUUGACUUUUAACUACGAGAUCAGCUUUUAGUAUUAGCUGUAGUUAUAAUAUAAACGUUAAUUAUGAAACUCUUACCAAAUUUUAGUUGUACUUUCUAGCCCGAUUGUAGAAAUCCAUACAAGAUGCUACUCAAUUUUACUUAAUCUUACUCGUCUUUGAUUUGUAAAUUUUAUGCCUAAAUUUUUGUCAACAAAUUGGUCCCAGUUCCAAGGUUCUUCAGCUUGGGUGAUCCCAGCAAAACCAUUACGUCCAUUCAAAAGGGUUCCACGUUGAGUGCACGAGAUCCACAAGUUUGAUUGGGCAGAAAUACCUGAUGAAAAACCUGAUGAAACCCACGUCCAAAGAUGCCUUUUGUUGCGGAGGCCUAGACGCGACACCCCAUCCCCUUUUACCAUAUUUUAUAAUUGAAGAGGCCAUUAUUGAAUUUAAAAAUUAUGAUUCAAAAUCCAAAAAUAGAAAAAGAAAAACAACCGUUGGAAACCACUCGAAAUUUUAAGUUGAUAUGAGAAAAGAUUUUUUCAUCAUCAUCAUUACUAUUAUUUCUUUUUAACAAAAAUUAAGCUAAGACAACAUUAUAUACCCAAAAUACCCCUCACAUUAUCCCAAACUUUCUAAACUCCCCCACUCCUCUCAACAUCAUCUCUUCCAAAUCUUUCUUCCUCCAAAAAGCAGCCAUGGCUUCAAAUUCAAUCACCUCAACACUCCAAUAUUGGCUUGUAAACCACCCCAAAAUCCUCAACUUCACAUGGACUCAAAACCAAACCCCAGCUUCCUCCCCACACUUCCUCAUUCUCUCCAUCCUCACUUACCUCUCCCUCACAUUCAUCCUCUACCACAAAUUAACGCCAACAUCACCAUCAUCAUCACCUCUCAUUGGACCCCACAUCCUCAAGCCCAUCACAGCCGUCCAUAACCUCACCCUCCUCCUCCUCUCCCUCGUCAUGGCCGUUGGUUGCACUCUCUCCAUCGUCCUCCAUUCACCCAACCUCCGUCACACCCUCUGUUUCCCCCCCACCAUUUCUGCCUCCGGUCCCCUCUUCUUCUACGCUUACAUCUUCUACCUCUCCAAAAUACUCGAAUUCCUAGACACCCUUUUGAUCAUUUUGUCAAACUCCAUCCAACGGCUCACGUUCCUCCACGUCUACCACCAUGCAACCGUCGUCGUAAUGUGCUACCUUUGGUUACAGACGAAGCAGUCUUUGUUUCCUAUCGCACUUGUCACCAAUGCAAGUGUGCACGUGAUCAUGUACGGGUACUAUCUAUUGUGUGUGAUGGGGUUGCGGCCAAAGUGGAAGAGAUUGGUCACUGACUGUCAGAUUGUUCAGUUCGUGUUUAGUUUUGUUGUUUCAGUUUUGAUGCUGUAUUAUCAUUUUGCGGGAUUUGGAUGCUCUGGGAUCUUGGGUUGGUGCUUCAAUGCUGUGUUUAAUGCUUCCCUCUUGACACUUUUUAUUAAUUUUCAUUCCAAGAGCUAUGCUAAGAAAAAGCAGGGAUGAUCAAAACAAAUCGUCGUUGUGAUUGUUCUCUGUGUGUGUUUUUUUUUUGUGGUUAAUUAUGAAUGGUUGUGAUCGGUUCAUUGCAUUUGACAGAGAUGUUGAAGGGUUAUGUACUGGAAAAUAGAAAUUAAACCAACAUUAUCACUAUAACUGGUACAUUAUUACCAUCACAGAUCAAGAUCUGAAUGGACGCAUAGCAGCCAUCCUCAAAACCAAAGGAGGAGAAAAUUGAACUAGAACAACCACCUUAAGGUGAAGAAGGCCAGAACAAGACACACAUCCUCAAAUCAUAAGGAAGAGGUGGGUGCAACCAAAAAAAAAAAAAAGAAGAAAUCAAGAAUCCACUGGAGAAGGCAAGAAAGAUUUUUGCCUCCGAAGAUUCGGUGAGGAAGAGAUGAGGAGUUUGGAGCGGAAAAGUUUUCGGAGAGAUCUGCAGAUUAGCUUUAAAAGUGUGUUUUAAAGAAAAAGUUGUUGAGAACUUGAGAGGAUACAUAUGCAAUCAAAACUUUACUCUUCAUGUUUGUGGACUAUGUGGAAUGUUUAUCCACUGAGUGUAAUCGUGACGGUUGGAUUGAGUGAUUAAAAUCACACGGCUGAUAUUAGUUGGUUCUAUGUUGGAGUUGAUCCAACAUAGCCGGAGCCUUUAAAUAAAAAACAUUACAACUCAUGCAUCCAAGCACUUAAAGUUGGCUUGAGUGCAUGGGUUGUUGUCAGUUUUCUUCCUAAUUAAAUUAGGUAGGGAUAAAAUUAUCUCUUUAUUAAUAAGAAUAAAGUAGAUAUCUCUCUCGAUUUUCCUCUUAAUUAAACUGAAUAGGAGUAAAAUUAUCUUCUAAUUAAUAAGGAUAUACUAUAUAUCUCUCUAAUAUUAUGUGAUGGUAGAAAUUUAGGUUGUACGGUAAUAGAAUUAUCAAGGAUAGUCUUGAUAGAAUUAAUGCAAAGAAUUAAGAUAAAGCCUCAAAGAUGGAACAAAGGUUAAAAAAAAAAAAAAGAGUACAAGACAAAGAAAUAAGGAAACAAAAGAAGACCAAGAAUAAAAGAAAACAUAAUUUGGAAAACAAAAAAAUGGAUUGCAAUUUUAAAUUUUGAUUAAGGAUAAAUUGUAGUGGAUGCAAUUGUUGGUAAUUUAUUAUAUUUCAAAGCUCAAAUAAGGAAUAAAAUUAUUAUUAUGAUUAUUAUUAUUUUGCAAUAACUCGUUUCAAAUUUUAAAAGAUUAUAACUUUUUGUUUUUCAACAUUUUAAUCAUAAAUUAAAAAGGAGUUACUAUUCAAGAUUCCUAAGAAUACUGAAAAAAAUGAUAAAUAUUAUUCUAAGAAAAUGAUAUAUAUUGGAUAUACUGAAAUAUUAUAAAUUAUUAAAUAUUUUACUAUUUUACCCCUUAGUUUGAUGUUUGGGGAAAAAAUACUAAAAUGGCUUUCAAUAAAAAGAAUUAUUAUUAAAAAAAUAAGAUUAAAAUUAUAACAAAUGAUAUUAAUAAGAAAGAAACUGAUAAAAAUUUGGGUUUCGAAAUAGGGGUUAAGGCUUCAGUCCUUGAAUUUCUCGACAUUUUAUAUACUUUUAAUUUUUAACCUGUCAAAUUACAUUAUUAAUGGAAUGUCAAUAAAUUUUGUGCGUUAAUUUUUGUUUUAGAUACUUUAAAAGGUAAAAUGGUAUUUUGGAUGGUAAAAGUCAACUAAUUAAUUAAAUAUUUAUAUUCCUAGGAAAUUAUUUUUUAAAUUUUCAUUGUGGUGAUAUCAUAAAAUAAAUUUGUGAUUAUCAUACUUGUUUUAUAGAUUAAGAUAUAAGUAAAAGUUAAAUUAAUCUUUCAAUGGUUUUUUUACUUUUUUUUUUCUAUAGGGAGUUAUUAUUAAUAAUUUUUUUUGUCGUCUAACUUGAAAUAUAAUAGACCUUAAGGGGCAAAAUAAAAUUAUUCUUGUUAACUCCACGAAACUAUUAAUUAGUUAGGGUUAGGGGCAUUCUCGUAUUUUUCAAGUCAACAUCAAUUAACUAUUAAAAAUAAUGGCAUUUGGCAGGUAAAUUGAAGUUUUCAUACUUUUGGAGGGUAAAUUGAAGUAUUUCAAUCUAAUAAGGGUGUGGGACGAAAUUUAACUAUAAGUAAAUUAUCCGUGAGGCAUGCUUUUUACAACUUUUGUUUUCUUCUUUUUUUUUCUUUUGAGUUUUUGUUUUUGUUUUACAUGGCAUUGGCCCGACCAGUACAAAUUAAUUUUAGAAUAUUUACAAUUAUGUACCAUAGUUGUGGAGUAGAAUCAUAGAAAUUAAAGAUGGUAAAAUUAUUGACGUGUGGGGUGGGGGAGGAUAACUAUUAACUUUUUUCAUGCAAUCUAAGAAGAAUGCAACUGCUCCUUUGAUUUGGUAUUUUCGUAACAAAAGCACACUGAACAUCUUAUCAAAUUAUUUCUCCUUUUCCUUGUCAGAAUGGCGGAUGCGAUCGCUUCCCCUCUUCUUGGGCAACUGAACUCCUUUGCUGCUUAUGAAUAAGGAUUUGAGUUCCAUUUGUCUUCCUUUUCUUAUUUAGAUUAGAAGGAUUUUAUUAUCAUAUAAUAUUUUGGAUUUGCCUAUUUUGGUAAAUUCCUAAUAUUUAUGUUUCUAUAAAAGUGGUUCAAUACCCAAUUUUGUUUGUUCAAAUUAUUCGCAAUAAAACUUAUUAUUUAAAAACCUGGUUUCUAUUAUCUAAUAGCCUUUUAAUGUUUCCUCAUCGUCAGCUGAUAUUAGAGUAAGUUCGCUUGUUAUCAUGAUGUGACCACACAAAGGAACAACCGUCCCGAAGACAUUCAAGGGAAGUAGACAACGACUGUGGAGGCAGAGCAAAGCUCAGGGAAGGCUAACCCGGGCUGCAGCCCGGGUAAGCUUUUUGAAAAAAAAAAUUAUUUAUAAUUUAUAAAUUUACUUUUAUUAGUAUUUAUAAAAAAAUAAAAACAAACCCAAUAAUUAUAGGAAUCUUUAUUUUCCCCAAAUUACAAUUCAUAAAACUCACCAGUAUCUAACUAAAUCUGAAUUUAAAAUUCACCAAAAUUCAAUUGCUCAAGUCUCUUACCGUUGCUGAAUACCCAGUCUCCUGCGCUCGAAUUGACGCCUAGCCACUGCCUCAUGAGUGACGCCGAACCACUGCCGCAAGGCCCGCACCCACAGGUUGAAUCUCUUACCGCUGAGCCGACGCCGAAUGCCCAGUCUCUUGAUGCGGCCCCUGGUACAAAGCACUUUGCCUUUUAAACUUUAGUUUAUAGAAUAUAAUAUGAUUUUAUGAUAAUGAUGGUUGGCACACGAAGUGGAAUUGUGGAAGACUGGAAGUUGUUGAUUUUGUGAACUGUGAUUCAUCUUUUUAAAAUUAUAAAAUAAUAGAAUGUGAAAAACGGUGAUGAUAGCAUAUAAAGUGGAACUGUGAAAGGUGUUGAUUCAUCUUCUUGUAAUUAUAAAAUAAUGAUGGCAUGAAAGAAUGAGUGAAUAAAAUAGUAAAACAAUUAAUUUGAAUGCUGACUUUUUUAAUUAGCUUUUAACUUGCGAUUUUGUCAAAUUUUUUAUAAAACAAAUACUAAAUUUUUAAUGUAUUUUAUUAUAGAUUCAAUGUUAAAUAAACCAAGGAAAACUCUACUUUCUUUUUUUAAGAGAGUAGGUGAAAAUCAAUCAUCCACCAAGUCUUUAUCUCCAUGUCAAGUUAAUGCUCAAGAUUCCAGUGAGCAACAUACUUCCAAGUUUCAAAGGGUUGAAGUUGAAGAAACUAGAAAUACUUAUCUGGAGUGUGAUCUUGGAUUACGUCAUCAAAUAGGGACGUAUUCAGUAAAUCAACGUGAUGAUAUUAGAAGGGAGUACAUCAAAAUGGGACCUUAUCAUCCUAAACUACGAGAUUAUCCACUAACUAAUGAUGGCAUGCAAGAACGUAGGUUUCACUGUCACUGGUUUAAAAAAUUUCCAUGGCUUGAGUACUCUGAGGUAAAAGAUAGUGCAUUUUGUUUUCCAUGCUUUCUUUUUGAUGAAAUUCCAUCAAACAACCCAAAAUUUUUUAUUGAAGGAUUUUCUAGUUGGAAGAGAGUCAACAAUGGAAAAACAUGUCCUUUUUUAUAGCAUGAAGGGGGUCCAUCUUCUCAUCAUAAUGAGAAUAUGCAGAGUUGGGGUUGUUUGAGGAACCCAAUUCAACACAUUGAUAGAUUAAUUAAUGCCCAAACUUCACAACAACUUUUGGAGAAUAGCCUACGAUUGAAGACCUCAAUUAUUGCAGUUAAAUGGUUAGCAAAGCAAGCAUGUGCUUUUAGAGGUCAUGAUGAACUAGUUAAUUCAAGAAAUCGGGGAACUUUCAUAGAGUUGAUAAAGCAUUUAGCGGAGUGUAGUAAAGAAAUUACUCAAGUUGUCUUGGAAAAUGCUCCAUCGUAUGCUAAGUAUACAUCGUCUGACAUUCAAAAAGAGCUUUUAAAUAUUCUUGCAAACAAAGUGAGAAACAAGAUACGCAAGGAACUUGGAGAUGGUAAGUUUUGUAUUUUAGUAGACGAAGCACUUGAGGAAUCAGAUAAAGAGCAAAUGGCUAUUAUUUUAAGGUAUGUGUGAUUGUGAUGGAUAUAUUCGAGAACGUUUUUUUGAAGUUGUCAAUGUCAUGGAAACUACAGCAGUAACAUUGAAAAAAGAAAUAUGUAAUGUUCUUGCACGAUAUGAUCUUUUAGUUGAAAAUAUCCGAGGGCAAGGGUAUGAUGGUGCUAGUAACAUGCGGGAUGCAUGGAAUGGAUUACAAGCAUUAUUUUUGAAAGAUUGCCCAUAUGCAUAUAAUAUACAUUGUUUUGCACAUCAACUACUUGCUUUAGUUGCAGCAUCUAAUGAUGUGCCAGAUGUAUGGCUUUUCUUUUCAGCAUUGGGUUCAAUUGUAAAUGUUCUGACUUCAUCUGCUAAAUGACUUUCUGAGUUAAAAUCUGUUUGGGAAGCAGAAAUAAUAGAUUUGAUAGCUUCAGGAGAAGUUCAAACUGGUACAGGGGCCAAUCAAAUUUAUACUUUGCAACGGCCUGGGGCUACUUGGUGGAGCUCUCAUUUCCGUUCUAUCAGUAGGUUGCUUGAUUUGUUUAGUGUUGUUCGUAACGUUCUUAGGAAGUUGGUAGAGUGUGGACCUAACAAUAGUAUACGUGGAGAGGCUAAAGGUGCAUGUGAAUCAAUGACAUCUUUUAAAUUUGUGUUCAUUUUGCAUUUAUUAAAUAAAGUUUUGGGGGUGAGUGAUUUACUUUGUCAAGCAUUACAAGUUAAAUCUCAAGAUAUUCUAAAUGCUGUGCACUUAGUCUCAACUACGAAAAAACUUCUUCAAAGGCUGCGAGACAAUGGUUGGAAAACUUUUAUUGAGAACGUAGUUUUAUUUUAUGAAAAGAAUGAGAUAGAUAUGCUUGAUAUGAAAGCUCGCCAUAUGAAAGGCAGAGGACGUUCUUGUCAGCAGAAUAAUUAUAUUAUAGUUGAGCAUUAUUAUCAUUAUGAUAUAUUUAAUACUGUGAUAGAUUUUCAAUUGAUGGAGUUGAAUAAUAGAUUUAUUAAACAGACUUUGGAACUCCUCACUCUUAGUUCAGCUUUAAAUCCUAUUGAUGCAUUUAAAUCAUUUAAAAUUGAAGAUAUUUGCAGCCUUGCUGAAAGAUUUUAUCCUGAAGAUUCACUAAGAUUGAGUUACAGGCUUUGAGAAGACAAUUAGAGUGCUUUGAGAUAGAUAUACACUCUCUUCUAGAGUUUCAGAAUAUUACUUCCCUUUCUAAACUGUGUCGAAGAUUGGUUGAGACUAGAAAGUCACGGAUUUAUUUCUUGUUGGAUAGAUUAAUUCAUUUAGUGUUAACCCUUCCUGUUUCAACAGCAACAACAGUUGAGAGCAUUUUCUGCCAUAAAACUGAUUAAGACAAUACAUUGAAACAAGAUGGAGAAUGUGUUUCUUUCAGAUUGUAUGGUUAUUUACAUGGAAAGAGAAAUUACAAACAAUAUUGACUCAGAUGCGAUAGUAGAUGAAUUUUUUUUUUGAAGAACCGCAGGACACAUCUUCAUCAAUAGUGUUUUUCUUAUUUACAUUGUAUUUUUAUAGUUUUAUGGUUAAAUUUUUGCGCUUAUGUAGUGUGCUUAAUUUCAUUUAUAUAAAACAAUUUUUUUGGGAAGUAAAUUUCAUUUUUUUUUAAAUCUAGCCCACCCAAACAAAUGAUGCUAGCUUCGCCAUUGGAGGUUAUCAGAUAGAUGGUCAAAGAAGCAAUCUUGUAAGUCAUGGAGUAUGCAUAUAAUGUAAGAAUGGCAACAGACAAAUAUCAGGUUAUCUCUUGUAAACCAUAUUGAUAAAUCUAAUGAGGGAAAGAUAUUUUUUUUUUGUCCUAGAUGACGUGUGGGAUGGAAGUUACAAUCAAUGGGAACCAUUCAUCUAUUGUUUAAAGAAUGGUCUCUACAGUAGUCAAUUUUUUGAUUACUACACAUCAUUAGAUAGUAGCAAGCAUUAUGAGAUUAACAAAUAUUAUUUUUAUUAAGGAAUUAACUGAAGAAGAAUGUUGGUCAUUGUUUAAGCAAGUAGUAUUUUUUGGUCAAUUUUUUAAGGAUAGUGACCAAAUGAUAAAAAAAAUUGCAUGCAAGGCCUGCCUCUUAUUGCAAUCCAAACUAAACUUGAAUUUUUGAUUUGAUACAAUCCAAUCUGAAUAUUCUAACCCAAUCAACCUAAAAUCCGAUUAAGUUAAUCUGAACACAAAUUUGCCCACUCCUGGCGAGGAUCAUGACCCUACAAGCUUUGAAAAAAUUUGAGGUUUCGAAGUGAAAUAUUAAAAAUUAGGUAUAAAAAAACUGAUUUGACCCCUAAGAACUUGAUAUAUAAAAGAUGCAGAGCAGAGGCAAAUGAAGCUCGACGAAGUUGUUACUGAUUGGCUGGAUGAGCUCAGAGACGCAUCCUACGACAUGGAGGAUGUGUUGGAUAAGUGGAUCACUGAAACACGGAAAUUGCAGCUUGAUGAGGGCGGCGAUGAUGACGAUGCUCUUGCUCUUGCUCCUCCUAAGAAGAAGGUAUGUUCCUUAUUUCGUGCUGCCUCAAACUACUUAGCUGGUUUCAAACAACUCAUUCUUCGUGAUGAUGUUGCUGUCAAGAUUAGCGAAAUCAGUGAAAAGCUAGAUGGUAUUGCCACUCGAAAAGAUAUGUUUAACUUUGUUGAGAAUGUGAGUAACAAUGUUAAGAAAACAGAGCAAGUGCCAACCACCUCCUUGAUUGAUGAGGGAGAGGUUUUUGGUAGAGAUGACGAGAAAAAUGAGCUGUUUGGUAAGUUGUUGGGUGAGAGUGGCGAACAACAUCCUCAUAUCAUCUCACUGGUUGGGUUAGGGGGUAUAGGUAAAACCACUCUUGCACAACUAGCCUAUAAUAAUGAUGAGGUGAAAAGAAAUUUCGAAAAAGUUAUAUGGGUGUGUGUAUCAGACACUUUUGAUGAGAUGAGGGUCGCCAAAGCAAUCAUUGAAGGUCUAGGCGAGUCAGCUUCUGGUUUAAGCCAAUUCCAAUCUCUUAUGAGCCAUAUCCAUAGAUCAAUUAAAGGAAAAAAAAAUUUAUUGUCUUAGAUGAUGUAUGGGAUGGGAAUUAUAAUAUAUGGGAUCAAUUUUUCUUUUGUCUAAAGAAUGGUCUUCCCGGAAGUAAAAUUUUGGUUACCACACGUAAUGAGUCAGUUGCAAAUAUGAUGCGAACAAUAGAGUUAGAUAUUAUCUCCAUUGAACAACUAGCUGAAGAGGAAUGCUGGUUGUUGUUCAAGCGGUUGGCAUUUUUCGGUCGCUCUUUCGAGGAUUGUGAAAAAUUAGAACCAAUCGGGCGAAAAAUUGCACGCAAGUGCAAAGGCCUGCCUCUUGCUGUAAAGGUAAUAGGGAAUCUCUUGCGCUCUAAACGUACAGUAAAAGAGGCAAAGAAUUUUAGAGAGUGAAAUGUGGAAGGUAGAAGAGAUUAGGGAAGGUCUUUUGGCUCCUUUGUUGUUGAGUUAUAACGAUUGCCCUGUAAUUCUAUGGUAAAACAGUGUUUCUCAUAUUGUGCUGUCUUUCCAAAAGACUAUAAUAUGGAUAAACAUGAAUUGAUUGAUAUGUGGAUGGCUCAAGGUUACCUUAAUGCAGAAGAAGACGAAGACAUAGAGAUGAUUGGAGAAGAGUAUUUCAACAUUUUAGCAGCACGCUCUUUCUUUCAAGAGCUUGUGAAAGAUGAUGAUAAUAAUAUUAUGAGUUGCAAGAUGCAUGACAUAGUACAUGAUUUUGCCCAAUUUGUAGGUAGAAAAGAAUGUUUGUGGCUAGAAAUUAAUGGUACCAAGGAAUCAGUCAUAAACUUUUUUGGUGAGGAAGUCCAUCACUUAAGGUUAAAGUUUGAUGGAGAUACUUCAUUUCCUAUGUCUAUUCAUGGGCUUAAUAGAUUGCGUACCCUAUUAAUUUAUGAUGAAAGUCCUUACAAUCCGUCUCUUAAUAAUAGCAUCCUUCCAGAGUUAUUUAGUAAAUUGGCGUGUUUGAGGGCAUUAGUUAUAAGGCAGUCCCCAUUUUUUUGUCCAAAGUCGUUCCUAUAUUUUCAUUCUGACAAAAAUUGGAUUAGAGAAAUUCCAGAAAAUAUUGGAAAAUUGAUGCAUUUAAAAUAUCUUAAUUUGUCUGGACUGUGUAUAAAGAGACUACCUGAGACUUUGUGCGAAUUAUAUAAUUUACAAAAGCUAGAUAUUAGGCGGUGCCGAAAUCUUAGAGAAUUGCCAGCGGGGAUUGGGAAGUUAAAGAACACGAGGAGUUUACUGAAUGGUGAAACUUAUUCGUUGAAAUACAUGCCAGUAGGGAUUUCCAAAUUAACCAGCCUUCGAACAUUAGAAAAGUUUGUUGUGGGUGGAGGUGUUGAUGGUGGCGGCACGUGUAGGCUUGAAUCUCUGAAAAAUCUUCAACUCCGUGGUAAAUGUAGUAUAGAAGGGCUGAGUAAUGUGUCACAUUUAGACGAGGCUGAGAGGUCGCAACUUUACAAUAAGAAAAACCUCCUUCGUUUGGGUCUUCAGUUUGGUGGAGACGUAGAAGGGAGGAGGAAGAACGAGAAAGAUAAACAACUUCUUGAAGCCUUACAACCGCCUUUGAAUGUAGAGGAAUUAGUGAUUGUAUUCUACGGAGGCAACAUUUUUCCCAAAUGGUUGACUUCGCUAACCAAUCUAAGGGAACUAAAACUUUCCUCGUGCGUUAACUGUGAGCAUUUGCCUCCUCUGGGAAAAUUGCCUCUGGAAAAACUCCAACUAAAGAACUUGAAAAGUGUAAAAAGAGUGGGUAAUGAGUUUUUGGGAAUAGAAGAAAGUAGUGAGGAUGACCCAUCUUCAUCUUCAUCUUCAUCUUCAUCUUCAUCGUCAUCAUCAGUUAUUGCCUUCCCCAAAUUGAAAUCACUCAAAAUUGAUGGAAUGAAAGAACUGGAAGAGUGGAAUUACAGGAUUACGAGGAAGGAAAAAAUCUCUAUCAUGCCACGUCUUUCUUCCUUGAAAAUUGGUUCUUGCAACAAAUUAAAGGCGCUGCCGGAUUACCUUCUUCAAACGACGGCACUGCAGGAACUGAGUAUUUAUUUUUGUGAUCUUCUAGAAGAACUGCCCAUUCUAGAAGAUCGCAGGACAACAGACAUACCGCGUCUUUCUUCCUUGACGAUUUGGUAUUGCCCCAAAUUAACGGUGCUGCCGGAUUACCUCCUUCGAAUGACGACGCUGCAGGAAUUGACGAUUUGGUAUUGUCCUCUUCUGGAAGAACAUUAUGGAGAGGGGAAAGGAGAAGACUGGCAUAAGAUAUCUCACAUUCCCCACAUCAAGUGGUCGCCGUAAGAUAUCACUCGCUGGUAAUUUCUCCUCCUCUGAUUUACUUUGUUGUUGCUUGCAAUGAAAUUAAUAAAAAUAAUUAUAUUUUGAAUUAAAAUUCUGUAUAUUGCCAAUGCCUGACAGGAAUAUAUAAUAUUUUCUAAUAUUUUGAUUUGCGUAUUGAAUUUAACUAUUUACUUGAACCAUUAAUUUAAUGGAUCACUCUAUGAUACUGUUACAAAAAUUAUAGAAUCAAUUAUAGUAUAAAUAUGUACUGUUAGAUUUAAUCAAUAGUUCAUAAAGUUAAAAGUUAGUUAAGAUAAUAUUUUAAUUUUAGUUAUUUAAAAUUUAAACUUCCUAGUUAUCAAAUAAGUUAAACUUGUUUUCUAAAGAUUAAAUAAUUAAAAAUACAAGUUUAGUCUGUUGAAAUUUCUGUAUUUUCUUUUAAAAUAUAUGCAGUCUUUUGUAAAAUUUCAUAUAACAUCAUAGAAAAUCCUAACGUAUUUUAUUUUUUAAUGCACGGAAAUUUGUUAUGUGUAACUUCCUGAGAGACAAAAUCUCUGUGAUACAUUUGCAGUAAUGUUGAAAACUAAAUUAUCAAUUUUAUCUUGUAUAAUGAUAAUCGUAUUUUUUUAUAUAUAAUUUAUGUGACAUUAAUUCUUUAAAGUAAUUGUGUAAUUGUUUUUACUACAUUAGCCCUCUUUGUUUUAUUAAAUACGAGUUUAAUUAUGUUCAUCAGGGAUUCGAGGAAAUGUCAGAACCACACUAGCAAUUCGCAGGUCCAAGCUAAUUUGGUUUUAAUAAUGCAGGCAGGAGAGCAAGACUAUGAAAAUGAAAAAUUUAGCCAAAGGAUUGCUAAAAUGUUUUGCUGGUAAUUCACUUGCUUUAUUUUAUAGAAUUUCAUUUCCAUCUUCUUCUAUUGAUAUCUUGUUGUGAAUAAACAAGAACAGAGAAGUAAAGAUAUAUAUGAAAAUUCCCUAUUAGGAUGAUGCUAAAGCAAGCUCAAGCUCAAGCAUUGCAUUUUUAUUUUAUUUAAUUUAUAGAAUUUUCAUUUCUACCUGCAUUGCAUUUUUGUUUCAUUUUUUGGUUGACUUUGAAAACUCUAUGGAGAACAUUGGGGUAACCAAGGAUUAGGCUGGCAGUGGAACGACUACCACUGUGGUUAUUGUGCAACGUUUUGUCUGCUCUGUUUCAAUUGAGGAUGGAUAGCUGCCUGAAAGACAUGAUGAUUAUUAUUGCAUGAUGUUAAGGUGCUAAGAUUAUCAUUUCUAUCUUUUUUCAUUCUUUGAUCGGUUUAUCCUAUAUAAACAUAUGGAAUUAUGCUAAUAUUAUCAAAAUUUCCACCCAAUUUUCACUGUUGGUUGUGAUAACAUUUUCAGGCUCUCAAAAGCUACAAAACAAAGCAUUUGUGGGCUGAUAAUUUCCACAAAUUUGCAUUGUCAGAAUGCACUGUAAUGUUCAUUGUGUUCCUAUGUGUUAUCAGGUUAUCGUGGUAUGUAAAGUAUCAUCUUUAAGGAUUUGUAAGAGACUUUGCAGUGAACUUAGUUGUCACCAGCUCCUGCAAUUGCUCAUUCAUUCAAGAGUACUUCAAAAUUAGAUUUUCAAGGUUUGUAUGUUUAGUUGCGAUCAAAACAUUUAGUCACUCAUUCUUAAUCUUUUCUGAUUUUCAAGUUCUUUAAGGCCAUAAACAGUUUUCCAACUCAUUCUUAAUUUUUAGGUUGAUUUCGAGUACCCUGUUGAGGACAUUCCUGAGACCAAGGAUUAAGCUGGCGAGGGAACUGCUACCUCUGUUGUUAUUGUGCAAGGUUUGAUCAUUGGACCUUGAAGAAGAAUGCCUUACACGCAUUCUGUAAUUCAAGCAUUUUCUAAAGGAAAAGAGCAGUAGAAGGGAUAGUGAUGGCCGGAUCUGCUCUAUUUCAGUUGAAGAUCUCUGUGAUGUCGAUGAGCUUAAAGCAGUUGAUACUUCUUGAAAAUUAUUAUUACGGAUGAACUAAUUCCUGAAGACAGGUAUCCAAAUGCGUAUUUUCUUAAACUUCCAUUUUUAACAAAUGUUCCAACACUUGCUGGAGUAACAAUUUCAUAGCUUGCAUCUCUCGGGUGCAUCAUGUUCAGGGGUUGGAAAAAGCAUUUGUGGUAAAGCUUCAAAGCUUGUAAAAUGGCUGUGAAAAGGCA
This 44463-nucleotide long non-coding RNA is filed under the name Citrus x clementina. RNAcentral's name for it is "Citrus clementina (C. clementina) long non-coding RNA (CCLE_LNC002473)". Lineage: Eukaryota; Viridiplantae; Streptophyta; Magnoliopsida; Sapindales; Rutaceae. The record is from RNAcentral.